Molecule: long non-coding RNA, 73549 nt
Filed under: Triticum aestivum (bread wheat)
Lineage: Eukaryota; Viridiplantae; Streptophyta; Magnoliopsida; Poales; Poaceae
Description: long non-coding RNA (TAES_LNC013804)
Source: RNAcentral
UCAUGGACAACCUUGCUCUAGGAUAGCCGGACCCACCGGCCCCUUGAAGAGACCAUAGCAAAAGAGAUAAGAAAGGACCUUAUGCAUCAUGAUACACAAUGCUUUUUGCUCCGAAUAGUCGGACUUUGAGACUCUACGCGUCGGAGACUCGGUGUUGAUCUUCGCCACACCCUCUGUUGAAGAGAGCCAUCUCUGCCGUCAACAAGGACAACCAAAUAUUGCAUUUCUUUUUACUAAAAUUGCCCUAGUUAGCACCUAUACAUUUCUCCUUACCCAGAACCUUAUUUCUUUUUGCCUAGGGUUGGCGCUAUGUCGACUCGUGCCUUCGAUAAUGUGACAACACAAGACUCCCAUUUGUCUUCGGCAUUGACACUGCUUGGGACUUGGCUAUUUCGUGGCUAGGGCCCCAGGCACCCCAUUCUUUCCACUGUAGGCGCCAUGCUAUGCUUAAAUUGAGGCAUACGGUGUCGUUUUCAAUAGGCAUGCUCUGGGCCGAAGACUCUUAAAAUUAUUUGAUUCUAUAAAUGGAGCUUUCAACACUACAAUGAUGUCAGGGCCAACAUUACAAUUCUAAUAAAGAUUCAUUCCCUUCCCUGCUCCCAGAUGUAGUUCACACUACCUUGCUCGUCGGGGCACACCUCUUCUACUUGGUAGCCGCCAAAACUAUGGCCAACGGAGGUUAUACUAUCGGCGGCACGGUUACUUAUGUUAUGCCACCAACAAAGAUAGCAACUGUCUUCGAGUUCCGAGCUGUUGCGUUUGACAGAGCUAUGAAGUCGACUCAGGCAAAGAGGGCGGAACGUCUUGGGUCCCGGGAGGAAGAAUACCCAAAACUGAAAUAUAGAGUAACCAGUACACUUUUAGCUUUGUUUUUGAGGAACAACCCAACCACAGGUUUAUUACAGAACGGUGUUAUUGCAAUCCUCCAAGAGGAUGCUUCUAAGGUUUGGAGGGACAUCUCCAAUAGAGAAACAGUCUCCCUGUCUCCUGGCAUGAGCUGCAAUCUUGUGCGUCAGCUUGUUGCUAGCCCUCCUCACAGCCUUGUAAGUUAUCGCUGCAAACUUCUUCUCGAGGUUCCAAACGUCUGUGAUUAGAGGGAACAAAGCGGACUGAUUGCUGCCUCUAUUGUUCAGUAGAUUCAAUACCGUAGCACAAUCAGACUCCAGACAAAUCGGCCCCUGGUGUACUUAGUUAGGACAGAAAGACCAUGCAAGAUUGCAGCAAGUUCAGCUUCCUCCCGGCUGUUGCAUAGUUGUAAACGCUGACCACUACACAAAGCGACCUUCCCAGGUUGUUUCUGACGACUAUGUAGGCCGUCGAUUCCCCGGAGCUAGGCAGGAAGGACGCGUCCGAGUUCAUUUUCCAUCUACCCUCGACCGGUGGAGUUCAUAUUCGCCCAUCCACUGAUUCGGACCACGCUGGCAUCUCUUCUGAUUUGUUUUCCUGAUUCCCCACACUGACGCAGACCAUAUGUAUGAUGCAUGUGUUCAUCCCUUGGGGCCUUUUCCCCUCCUUGAUUUCUACACGUCACGAAUAAGCGGCCCGAGCGUAGUGAUGGCCAACCAGGGGUGCAGCCCUCUCGCCUGCACUGCAAUCAGUUUCAUCCAUCUUGAUUUCAUCCACAUAUUUUAACAGGAAUUGGACAGACUGACCAAGAGGAGCCUUUCCAUCUGGAUGGAUGCAAUCAUUGUUUUCACUUUCGAUGAGAUUAUGAUGAAAUUCAUUGAAUUUCAUUAAUUUCAGCAGACGCUGAAAUAUUUCCGUUGCGGCCAAAAUAUUUCGGCAAUUUCAGUAGUACACAGAAAUUCAAAUAUAUUUCUGAAUAUUUUCCAAAAAAACAAAAUGUCGUGCGCCAAUGCUUUUCAAAGGAGCUUAUUAUGCAAUGAACAUAAUCGAUCUUAUUACAAAAUCAAUGUCUUACUUCAUAGAUUCGAGAGAAUAGGAGAACAGUAGCCUGACAAACAGUCGGUUCAGUCCGAUUCAGGUGCCUAAUCAAAUAGAACCCUUAUGGAUUUGCUAGUUGAUAAGGUAAAUAUCCAGCCCACUAAAUGCUAGGCGUAAUGAGGAUAAGGGCCUCCAAAAAACGGGCGAGGUCUCUGGUUCAAGUCCAGGAUGGCCCAGCCGCGCCAGGGAAAAGNNNNNNNNNNUUCCGAGUAAGUCCUCAGCCUGGGGUUCCGCCCGAAGAAGCAGGGGCUGCAGUAGCUGCCGAAUCUUCUACUGGUACAUGGACAACUGUUUGGACUGAUGGACUUACCAGUCUUGAUCGUUACAAAGGACGAUGCUAUCACAUCGAGCCUGUUGCUGGGGAAGACAGCCAAUGGAUCUGUUAUGUAGCUUAUCCAUUAGACCUAUUUGAAGAGGGUUCCGUUACUAACAUGUUUACUUCCAUUGUAGGUAACGUAUUUGGUUUCAAAGCCCUACGUGCUCUACGUUUGGAGGAUCUACGAAUUCCCCCUACUUAUUCAAAAACUUUCCAAGGCCCGCCUCAUGGUAUCCAAGUUGAAAGAGAUAAGUUGAACAAGUAUGGUCGUCCUUUAUUGGGAUGUACUAUUAAACCAAAAUUGGGAUUAUCCGCAAAAAAUUAUGGUAGAGCGUGUUAUGAGUGUCUACGUGGUGGAGUUGAUUUUACCAAAGAUGAUGAAAACGUAAACUCACAACCAUUUAUGCGCUGGAGAGACCGUUUUGUCUUUUGUGCCGAAGCUAUUUAUAAAUCACAGGCCGAAACCGGUGAAAUCAAGGGGCAUUACUUGAAUGCGACUGCGGGUACAUGUGAAGAAAUGAUUAAGAGAGCUGUAUUUGCAAGAGAAUUAGGGGUUCCUAUUGUAAUGCAUGACUACUUAACUGGGGGAUUCACCGCAAAUACUACUUUGGCUCAUUAUUGCCGCGACAAUGGCCUACUUCUUCACAUUCACCGUGCAAUGCAUGCAGUUAUUGAUAGACAGAAAAAUCAUGGUAUGCAUUUCCGUGUAUUAGCUAAAGCAUUGCGUAUGUCUGGGGGAGAUCAUAUCCACUCCGGUACAGUAGUNNNNNNNNNNAAGUGAAUAUUUUGGCUCUUUGACUGAAAUGAAAACCAAAACCACUGAAUGAAUUUUGGUGAUUUAGGCUGGUGCUGAAAGUUUUUCUGAAACGGAAAUUGAAAGCCAUGGAUGUAAUCAUAGAUCUCUCAGCCACCAGGACCACCAUAGCAGGAGCAGGAGCUUUCUUCUCCCCUCCGCAUGACACCUACCCACGAGGUUGGAGCCAGUCCUCACCAGUAAAACGACACAGAUCUUCCGCCGGUAAAUCCCAGUGAGCCCUCAUUUCUUCUCUAAGUGCUCUGGCCUUUGUGCAGCUCAUUACUGUAUGGAAUUCAUCUUCCUUUUUUCCUUCCGCAAAUAUUACAGAUAUUAUCGACCACAAGUGUUAUCUUCCUCUUAUUCUCCUUUCUGGGUAGUGUUUCGGUUGCCACCCGCCAUGCAAAUAUCCUAACUUUUUCUGGUACCUUUGCCUUCCAUAUGAGAUCCCAUAUGCUUCUAUUAUCCGCCUCAUUACUUGAGCUUGAUGGCGUCAUGUUACCUUGAUGUUUCAGAUUGCGCCGAGCCUGUAGGCACUUCGAACAGAGAACACACCCGACUUCUCCUCGUUCCAUGCAACACAGUCCUCCACCAUACUUGAUGGGAUGUUUAUUUUACAUAUUGCUUCCGCAUCAUACUUACGAAAUAGCUGACGCACGAGGGCUUCGUCGCACUAUUUACUCCCCUGGCUUCGUUAGCUGGUUCACCCACCUCAAUCUUGACCGACUUUUAAAUACUGUGAUCUUUAGGCCACUCCUCCUGGGGACCCAUUGGUCCCUCUGAAUUUGAAUAUUCUCCCCAUGUCCCACUCUCCAAAUUAGUCCUUUUUCAGUAAUUCUAGUCCAUGUUCAAUUCCUCUCCAUGAUUGCGAGGCGUCUCAAGCAAACAUGGUGUCAAGGAGCUCACCUCUAGGGUAGUAUUUUGAUUUAAGGACCCUUGCAUAAAGACUAUUAGGAUUUCGAGAAAGACGCCGACCUUGUCGCGCUAAGAGGGCUUGGUUGAAGAUGUGCAUUACCAGGGUGCUAAACCUUUAUAAUGGGUUGAGGGGCACAUUUCUUAGCCCCAAACCAAUCUAAUCUCAAGUCUCUUUUGCUUGGCACCUCCUCCAAAAGGUUUAGUUGCAAAUGACGAGCAUGGGGCGCCACCAUGAACAAUAAGUUUUCAUCGAACACCAACCGCAUUGUCCCUUUCCCCAACCUUGAUGAAGUGGUGCCCGCCGGAUGGGAGGAUUUGAGGAAGCUGAGACUUAAGGAUGAAAUUCACCCGGAAAAGGAAACCGGCAACGAGGUGAAGGUUCUCAAGAUCAAGGAGGAAGAACCGAUAAAAGAAGGAGAUAACGAAUCCAGUCGAGAUGAUUGUCCUCCAAACCCUUAUUAGUUCAACAUCCGGGGAUCUAUUCCGUUAUUUCCUCUUGGGCCUCACCAAAAGAAGUGGGGAAAUGAACCACUUACCCCGGUGGAGAUAACGGAAAAGAUCAAGGAUUUGGAUCAAGUUUCUAAGGCUUAUGUGAACACUAUUGGAGAGGGUACUGAUUCUUAUUGGUUGAUGAGCAAAGACCUAGAAGCAAGGGCAAUGGUCUCGUCCAUAAGAUCGGACUCAUGGCUGACACCAUAAAUCAAAACAUUGCACAACUUGAGUUUUCAACCCAGGUUAUAGAUCAUCAGCAAGCCGUGAUAGAGGAGAUGAGGGAGCGGUUCAGGAACAUCUUCACCACCUGCAAGGAUACCCAGGAGUGAGCAUGAAAUGUUGAGUACUUGGAUCUCCCUGGCUUGAUUGUAAGCUUGGGCGAGAUUCACGUGUACUUUCUAUAUUUACUUUCAAGCAUUUCUUUUUAGCAAGUCGAGAUUAGCUCGCAGUUUUUAUUUUUCAAUAAAGUUGAACUAUUGAUUCUCUUUUGAAUAAGGGAUGAUUCUUCCCAAUGAGUAUUUGGAUGUCUUGUUGUGUGAGAUCAUUAUUGCUUUCUUGAGAACGUAUAGGAUAAUAAUUGUGACAUAAAUAGUAGCACAUAAUCACUUGCAUGGUGAUUAUAAGUACUCCACAUUGCAGUGGUGAACAAUGUAGGAGAUUGUUUAUACACAUACUACUCCCCAUGUCCCAAAAUGUAAGACAUUGUUUUUACACUAUGAUAGUGUAAAAAACCGUGUUAUAUUUUGGGACGGAAGGAGUAGUUCAUUGGAAGUUCAACUGAUAAAAGGGUAAGAAGAAAAAUGGAUAAAACAUGUUAAGAAAAAAGUUUUUUCUUAAAGGAGUUCUCCCGAGGGUCAUGUUUAGCUUACAUAUCACAUAAGAUUGAAAUGUGAGAUGGGCUCUUAAACAUGUUGCAAUGACAAGAGACAAAAUAUUUAAAGUAAAGAAUCUCUGAAAGAAAUAAAGGAGAAAGAGAUGCAACCCUCUUGUUCUUGCCUGCUUGAGACAAUGAUGAACUAAGUUAUGAAGUUGUUACCUGUCCACAAUAAAAUUGAGUAACAAUGUGUGCAUGCUGAUACAUCUCCAACGUAUCUAUAAUUUUUGAUUGUUUCAUGCUAUUAUAUUAUCAAAUCUUGGAUGCUUUAUAUGAAUUUUUAAAUCAUUUUUGGGAACUAACUAUUAACCCAGUGCCUAGUGCCAGUUGUUGUUUUCUGCUUGUUUUUGGUUUGCUAGAAAAUCAGUACCAAACAAAGUCCAAAUGCUACGAAACUUUUCGAUGAUUUUUUUGGACAUAAGAGACCCUAGAAGCUUUGGGAGGAGACCAGAGGACAAACGAGGAAACGGCAAGGCAACAGGGCGCUCAAGGAAGGCAGAACUACAAGUCUCUAGUGAAAACUAUGCCCCCCGGGUCUACUUUUAUCAUAUUAUAAAAUCCAAAAAUACCUUGCUGCAAUUUAUUUUAUUUUAUUUUGUUUUGCAGUUUAUUUAUCUACCUAUACAAGAUUUGAUCCUUGCAAGUAACGAGUUCAACGAGAUUGACAACCCUCUUGCCCGCACUGCGUGCAAGUAUUUGCUUUUAUGUGUGCAGGUGCUAUUCACGAGGCUUUGCAUGAUUCUCUUAUUAGUUUGAUAAACCUCUUGGUUCUCACUUGGGGAAAUACUUAUCUCUACUGUACUGCAUCUCCUCUUCGGGGGAAAUCCUGACGCAGCUCACAAGUAGCAUAUGCCUGCAUGAUCAUUGUCAUAGUGAGGAUGAAUUAUCAUUUGUAAUAAUUCUUUUAUUCCUAUUCGUUCCUAUAACAAAUGAUGCACUCAUGUUUCUUUCAUACCCGUAUCACAUAAAUAUCAAGUUGACCUUGUUCUUUACAAGCUACAGUACUUGCUCGGGGAUGAGCAAGACUUAAGCUUGGGGGAGUUGAUGUCUCCAAUUUAUGUGAUGAUUUUGAUAGUUAUUUUAUGCCUCUUACCGGUAGUUAAUGAGGGGAAACGAUGUUAGGCUGCAUUAUAAGAAGGGAAAGUGCAAUGUUUGCAGUAAAACAUUGGCACAAAUGGCAGAGAUGUGCAAUGUGUGUGGCACUGGUAUUCAACCAUACAAGGAUGAUGGCCAAGAUUUGAUGUAUUUGAGGCGAUGAUAGUUCCUUACGAUCACUAUAUGAUGAUGCUAUGUUUACAUUUGAUAUUUUUUUGAUUCAUGUUUGUUUCUGUAGUUUCUAACAUUGUGCAACCUCAUGAUCCUAAAAUGUAUGGUUCCAGCGGAUUCCAUGUUUAGCCCGCGGCCAUUUCAACAAGACUUUCAAGAGGGGACUCAUUGUGCGCACGACUGACGGAUGCACUACUGUUUCAAGAUCAUGGAUACAAACAAUGAAACGUUUCUCAACGGUAUUGGUUGGGAUUGUUAUGGGUGUGACUAUGCCAUACAACUAGGAGAUACAUUAACUUUUACAAUGGAGCCGCACCUAGACCAGUUCUACUUAAAGCAACCAGAAGUGAUGGAUUGCAAAGCUUAAUGCCAUGUGUACAUGUUACAUAUAAAUUGUUUUAGAUGUGCCUAGUUGUUCUUGGUUUCUUUAUUGACCAUUACUUGUACAACCAGCUACUUCUUUCAUGGCCGGAGGGUGGUAGUUUCAAGAAGUGAUUUAACACUAGGUCAUGCAAGAACGACAAAGGUCAAUUCAAUUUUGAGACAAACUGGCAACAACAUUGUCCAAAUACAUAGAAUUACAAAUACCAAUAUUGAUGACAACAUUAUCCUGAGUAUCGAAUACGAUUUAAAAGUUUUACCUGCAAUUAGGUUUGUGUUUGUUUCUCGUUACUUUUUGCUACAGGCCAUCCAAGUUGCCAUAGUCAGAGAAAUCGGCGUACCUCCAUCUGGUAGCAUGUUCUUUGCAAAAAGAGUAUAAUUGUGUUGCAUCGUACUAUACUAAGGACGAUGGGAAGAUAUACAUAUAUGGGGCGGGAUGGCACGAGUUUGCAGAAGUAGAUGAUAUUGAUACAUGCAUGAUAUGCCUGUUGGUGAUCGGGUGUGACUACGAUGAGAUGUGUGAUUCAAUUUGGUUUCAAGAAAUAUGAUUUAGCAAUAGGCAUCAUACGGAUAGCUACUCAUUUCAAUAACCCUAUUGGUCUUGUAAUCGAUAUAAAACUAUGCUAUCAUGGCUCUAGUGGAUUCGAUAUAGAAGUGUCAUUGAUAAAUCGUAAUGUUACUUACAUGCUCAAGGUCGUCAAGCGAUAUCUUCUUGAAUUUCUUCAAAACCUUCUUGUGGUCACACUAAUCGUAUGGCUUCAUCAGUUCUUGCUGUAAAAACAGUACUUGGUUGACAACAAAAUGUUGAUGCAUUGAAUAUCUACAAAAGACAGUGAACUAACGAUUGUUAGCUGGUCAAGUAUGUGUUUCCUCUUUGACCCAUCGGUUGCCAUCAUUGCAACAUUGCAUAACCAUUGGAAGUUCCUUUCAACCUCGCCAUUUGGCACAAGCACGUCAAUGAAUUCCUGUUCAUAAACAUGAUUUCUCCGAAUUCUAACCUUGGUUGAUGAUUCGGCAGUAUCAAGAGAACUGGCUCACCUUCCUAUUUUUGACCUCCUGAGCUUUGAGUUUGUCAAAUAAUCUUUGUAAGCAUCGCUUGCCGCGGUACGGUCAACGCUGGUUGGACUCACGGAACUUUGACCACCCAGAAUGGGCUGCUCUAGCUCUGAUACGCUUGUACCGGACGGGGCAACAAUUGACAUGCGCUUCAGACUCAAUUGUUUGGCUCCAGAUUUGAUACCACGCAAUCCUGCAUUCAGUUAGUUAGUGAACUUCAUAUAUAUGUAUAUGGAUAUUUAGUGAGAGAUUAUAAUUCAUGUUUUCAUGAAGUGUAAAUGAGGUAUAGUUGCUUUUUGGGUUCAACUUACGUAUUUUCGAUAGUGGCACCUCGUCACUGUUAACUUCAUUUUAGCAUCAACAUCCGAGCUACUAUCAUGUGACACAUUCUUGGCCUUUGGGGUUCCCACUAUGUCAGCUUCUUUGCCAUCAGCUCCAUGAGUAUUCAUCGGUUCUGGAGUGCCUUUGCUGCUGCUUUCAAUACAAUGGUUAUCUCCCCCAGUUCCAGCUUCACGUUUCUGAUGCAUGUCGUCUGCUUUGUUGUUUCCAUGUUUGUCAGAUGUGCCAACAAUUACAUUUUGUUUCCCAAUACAUGUGUUGGCUGGAACUUUAGGUGAAUUGCUUGAAGCCACAACACAAGUACUCUGGAUUGAUGAGAAUGUUGAAUCUGUGACAUUACAAGAUACAAGAUGAUCAACCUGUUGACACCCAAGCACUAUUUCAACAUCAUCAACUAAAGGAUUGGCGCUUUUUAUGAUAUAUGUUUUUGUGUUCAUCUCAUGCACCAAGACCUCUCCGGUCGAGCACUUCUCAAUCUCGUUGUGGAACUUGGCAACAGCCUCUUCUGCAUAAUAGAAAACAUUGGAAACAUUGUUAUCAGAGAUUUGGCGUUGUUUUGUCAUGAGGUUUGGGUUGUGUCCUCCACACGCAUGGCUGCUAGAGUUGGGAGCCCAUCAGUGACUACCUCAUUGACUUCUGUUCUCUCAAUACUGAAUUUGCCAGCAUCAUUGCUGCGCAGCUCCAGACAAGCUGUGCGAGAUAAUGUUUUCUCAUUUAUCGGGUUCUCCCAUCCUUCACCCUAUCCAUCAUCUGAAGAAUAUGGAUGGGCAACACAAGUUAGAUCACGAGCAGUAGCUACCUCGACAUCGCAUGAAGAACUGAGCAACCUCUCAUCGUUAUUGCUAACAGUGAGUGUGUCGCCCUUUCUAGUUGUUGACGGGCGAUCCGAAAGGUUUGCCGCAGCAUCCAACGAUGAUUUUGGUUUUCCUGCGUUAAAGCCAGCUUGUCUACAUAAACCUAGUAGAACAAGCAUGUCAACUCUCCUCUUCUUAUCUAAUUCUGUAAUUUUUAUCAUUAUUUCCUUUUUCACCUGAUCUUUCUCUAACAUACACUCCAUCUCGAUCCUCUCAAUGGAAACCUUCAGGUCAUAUAAAUGUGAUCACGCAUACAUUAAUUAUUUUGGUCUAACUUAUACUUGGCAAGACACAAAAGGCAAAACGACAUUCAGAAUGUCUAGGCUUGCCCCUGUUAGUUUUGGACCAGCGAGUUCCCCAAUCUGUGGUGUAGUUCGGUCUUUGAUGCUCGAAUCAUCCUCCUCAUCGCUUAAAUUGUUUGCAUUGAUAAGGCUACCCUCAAUAACGAAUACAUGGUAUUAGAUACAUGCUUGGGCAUUAUUCGUUGUCGAUGAAAUUUUUGAAUUCUUGCUGCUGGGCUAAAAUCAUGCCUGGAGUUUCCCAUGUAGACCAGAUGCAUUCAUGUCGAGCAUGUCUAGUGUCUCCAACAACUUAGUUGUUACAUGCUUGAAAUGGGGGACACCUUCAGGGACGACAUGCAUUGGCAAUCGUACAACAUCAAUGUCUAUGAGCUGUUCACCAAAUGGAAGAUAAAAAAUCCAUGUUACUAUUAUGAUAUACCAGUGUAAAUGAAUCAGACAUCUGUUGACGCUUGUAAUUUAAUAUGUCGUAGCUUACUAGCAAAACAUGCAAACAACCAUGCACAUUGAUGUUUGCAGCUAUGGACUCCCUGUACAUCCGUACAUCAUUAGCUAUAUAAUCUGCCACAAAUGUACACCAGUCCAUCUCAUGGACAUGGUUCAGGUUCUAAACAAUGGAUAGGAAAUUCCUGUUCAUCACGUGGCCGCUUGCUGGGGCAAGUUACACACACAAUAUGAUAAGUAGGAAGUACUUCUUGAACUUAUCCCUCUCCAUUAUUCCGGGCAGCUUGUCAAAAAAGUUCUUAACUAGCUUUCCACUGCCUCUUGACUCUUCUUUGAAUUCCUUUUCAUCUUCGGUUGGGUCCCUAACCUUGUGCUUGCUAGGUCUAUGAUGAGGCAUUGGAACUUCUAUCCUACCAUCGGGUACUCCAACAUCCUAUUGACAAGCUUCCUGACUUUUAUGUGCUUGCCUCUGAUUAGUAGUGUUUUCUUCUUCCAAUCAACCUGAUUAAUCAGCUAAAGAGUUAUGCCUCUUAGGAGACAGCAAUUUGGCAUAUCUAAAAGGUGAGCAAGCCCAAGCUCAACCACCCAUCCUCUCUGUGUUUCGUUUAGCGGUUUAACAAUUUCAUGAACUUUGUGAGCCGCACAUUUGAACUGAAUGCCCUGCAAAAUAUUUACUAUCAGUAUUUGUGUUCAACAGUCUAACUAGAAGCAAAGUGGAUAUGCUUAGUGUUAGGUUCUCUACUGGGCUUCCUGUCGCCGCCAUGCAAUGAUUUCCUGUUCCUCUUUGGUUCCACUACUUCCUCAUCUAUGUUGUAAUCUGAUUCUUCAGAACCGGAGCUGGACUCCACGAUCUUGACACGCUUCUUCUUUUCUGUCUUCUUCAUCUACUUAGCAUGCUCAAGUGUCAGAACUUGGGUCGUCUCUUCUAUCCUUCGACUACCUCUUUCUUUCCGUACGCUCGUUUUUUGACAUAUAAUCUCUUUUUCCUUUAGCCUUCCUAUCCUUGUCAAACCAUUCAUCCCUCAAACUUGAAGCAUGUCUCCUUGAUUUCCUUUUAAUAUUUUUGUCAAUAUCCUCACUAUCUGAAAUGGAUUCAGAUUCACUGCUUGGAAGGUCCUUCUUUGACUGUGUUUUUUUUGUUUUCCACAUGUCUUUACCAUCUUCACUUUCUGACAUGUUGCCAUGCUUCCUAUGAUGAGACUUGCUUCUUUUAUCAGGCUUGUAAUAUGCUUCCUCACUGACAGGUUCUCAUCAUAUUUCCUAUGUUUUAUUCUUGUUUUGAAGGCUUCCUUUCUACCUGCCCUCUUGCUCUGCUUCCUCCACUACAAAAAAAAUACACUUCCGUGAUGAUACGUGUUUGUCACAGUAGGUCGCAUUUUUUGUCAUGCAUGUACAUCCAUGACAAAUUUAUGACAAAAUUAAGAUAGUCAUACCUGUGCUGUCGUAGAAGUGUUCCAUGACAUUACCAAAAUUAUCAUCACGGAAGUGUCGACUUCCAUGACGAUUAAUCGCGCGUCACAGAAGUGCUUUCGUCAAGGGUGACCGACACGUGGCAUCCACCGUAACGGAACACCGUUAAGCUAUCGGGUCGGGUUUUGGAUCCGAUAACCCGUUAACAGCCCCGACCAAUGGGGAUUUUCCACGUGUAAAAUCAUCAUUGGCUGGAGGAAACACGUGUCGGCUCAUCGCUGGGACAGAUGUCAUCCACUCAUUGGACAGAAGGCUCCUAUGAUACGUCGACAUGUGGAAUGGCCCAACAGUGGCCCAUUCCUGUGAAAAGGCCGGCCCGUUUGACUUGGUCAAAAGCUGGCGGCCCGGCCCAUGGAAAGCCUGUUAACGGUCUGUUCGCAUAUAGCCCAUUUACAGCCCGCUAACCCAAGGCCCGUUACGCCCUAUUCGAAUUAGGCCCAGUAGCGUCAUCUGGGCCAUCCAAUAUGAUUCCAGCCCGUUUUCACUUCUGGCCCAUGUAUGGCCCACGAUGUCUUUCGGCCCAUAUGAGGCCCUAUGUAACUCUUGGCCUAUUAACGGCCCGUGCUAAAACUGGCCCGUAAUGAACAGUGUAUUACUUUACACCCAUUAACGGCCCGUGGUGAAACUGGCCUAUAAUGAACAGUGUAUCACUUUAUACCCAUUAACGGCCCGUUAUUCCGUUGGUCCGUUUCCAGCCCAUGUUAUCUUUCGGCCUUCUCAGAGCCCAUUUAUUCUUGGGCUAUUUUCCAGCAUUCGUUUACUUACGGCCCGUUACUGUCAUUUUCUGCUUGUGGGCCAAAUUCAGCCCGUCGUUACAGUCGGCCCGUUUGUGGUCCGUUAAUACGUUGGGCCGUUUUCAUAGCGUCAUCAAAUACGGCCUAUUAACGAUGGCCCGCUAUGGUCGGCCCAUGAACGGACGAUUCCAACUCUAGCCCGUUUACGGCCAGAAUGCGGUCUGUUUGGCCCAUGUUUGGCCAAUCGAUCAUACGGCCCGUAUAAGGCCCAUUGAUGAUACGGCCCGUAGAAGGCCCAUUGUUUCUACGGCCCGUAGAAGGCCCAUUGUUUCUACAGCCCGUAGAAGGCCCACUGUUUCUACGGCCCGUAGAAGGCCCACUGUUUAUAUGGCCCGUAGAAGGCCCACUGUUUCUACGGCCCGUAGGAGGCCGAGUGUCACUACAGUAAAUAUUAGCCCAUGGUUAUUGUGGCCUAGUUUUAAAAAAUAGGUUAUUGCAGCCACUAGCAAACCGCAGAAAAAGAAUUGCACUGACUACAAGCAAACAAAUAAACAAGACAACAAGGAAAUAAAUAAGCAAGCAACUUACACAAGGCUAUCACGGCUAUUACACAUAUUACAUCCACUGGGCAUCAAAGUUCGCCACCAGUGCAAAUAUAGGGAACACAGCAGCAUAUAAACGCCGCAGCAAAACAAGUCCAGAACUGAAACCACUUCAGAAGAGCUCAAGAAACAAUAUACGGGGUACCCAUAAUGCUGGCAAGAUGCUUAGCAAGCUUAUUAACUUUCUCUUGUUUGGCGCUUAAGUCCUCCAGCGCUUGCUGUUGCACCAGAAAGUAUGCAUCUGAAUUCUGCAGGGACUUCCUCAGUCCUUCGGCUUCCUGUCGCAUAACAUCUGAUCGAUGUCUUUCAACUUGAAGUUGAGACUCAAGAAGUCGAACUGAUUCAGGCAACGAGUUCGAAGAGCUGGUGCCAGAAGUGGUAGCCAGUAACUCGAACACUACAUCAAGACAGGACUUUGGGGUUGUCGCACUGUCUUCAAUAUAGUUUUUAUCAGCUUUCUUGGAGACCAACAGGGAUGUCUCACUAUCUUGAACCUUAUCUGCAUUACUUCCUUUACCAUUGCAUAACAGGGUACUCUUCUCCAAUAUUUUAUCCGCGUUCUAAAAGAGAAACAAACAAACACAUCUCAGGUUUACAAUGUAGUAUAUGAAACUCAUUUUGGUAAACCAGUUCAGUAGUAAGGUGGACAGGAUAACAGCAUGAAACAAACAUAUAUCUAUGUAGGAUGGUCACUGUAUGGUCUAUAUCAUUCUAGUUUAUGUUGCCAGAUCAAGAUAGAUACAGUUCGAAUCAUAUCUAUUUAAGACAAAGCAGCAUAGACAGAAUAUAAGUGUGGGAAACUACACAGCAAUAACAACACUUGUAAUGUGCAUGGCAUGAGAACAUAACUGUUUAUUCAAUUGAAACUGAAAUCAACAUAGAGCAAGUUACAACAGCAAACAGCCAAACACGUUGAAGAAACAGGUUUAAAACAUACAUGUUGCGCCAUUGGAGUUUCAAUUGCAUCCUUCAAAUUUGAAAUUAGUUGGUAUCAGUAAAUACAGUGAUGCAAGAGCAAAGUAGUAUGAACCAUAGCUGCGGAACCUGACGUGAGAACAAUUCUUCUUCUGCUUUAAGCGUUGACUUCGGGUUCGGAGUGGUGGUCCUCGUGAUUUGGGCACUGCAGUUGCCUUACUAACUGCUCGUGUUUGGGUGCUCUGUGGUGGAGACGGUGCUGUGUCAACGGGAACUGGGUGUCUAUCUGUUGGGGUUGGGGUUAGAAGGGGUGUAGCUGGUUCUCUGUCCAACUGGGUAGGGGUACAAUCUGCAUGAGUGUGGGUUAUGUGUGGUGGGGCUGGUUCUUGGGCAAGUACAACCGUGGUUCUAUCUGCACCGACAGGUAGCACGAUCUUUUCUGAAGACCAUGUUUUUACUCCCACAGAUACUGCCAUCACUCCCUCCAAUUGAAAUGGCUGAUAAACAAGAAAAGUAAUUGAAUGUACACACAUUGUAAGAUAGACAGGUGCAAUGGAUAGUAGGGAAGAAAACAGGGCAUGAAAUAAUUCACAUUUAUGUUGUCUAAGCAAACAGAAUAGCAGGACAUAAUUUCACAUAUAUGAUGGCUAAUUAAACAGGAUAGCAUGACACAAUUUCACAUGUAUGAUGGCUAACUAAACAGGAUAGAAUGACAUACUUCAAAAUAUGAUGACUAUGUAAACAGGAUGACAUGAUAUAACUAUACGAUGUGUCUAUUAAAGUGGUUGGCAUGCCAUAAAUCACAUACAUGCCGUCGAUGGAAACAUGAUGGCAUGAUAUAAUUCACGGAUAGAAUGACAUAAUUUAAAAUAUGAUGACUAUGUAAACAGGAUGAGAUGAUAUAACUAUAUUAUGUCUUUAGAAAAUGGGUUGGCAUGCCAUAAUUCAAAUACAUGCUGUCUAUGUAAACAUCAUGGCAUGACAUAAUUCAAAUAUAUGAUUUAUAUACUAAGGAAGUGAGCAGAGGGCAAUCGCAUAUAUGAUGUGUCAACUAAGGAGAUGGCAUUCAAUAUUGUGUAUAUGACGUAAAAACUAAGCAUUGCAAUACAACAUAUGCAUUAUAUGAGUAAUAUAACCCUGCCAAGUUUGAGCAUACACCUCAGGGGGAUAAUAGGACUGGUCAUCUGCCUCUGAAUCCUCCUCUGAAGAGCUAUCUGUAACCAGCAAGAUAUCUGCUUCAGCAGGUAGCAUUGUCUGCUCUGAAGACCUUGUUUUCACUCCAGAUUUCUCCAUCACCAAUUCAAAUGGCUGAUGCACAGGAAGAUCAGUUGAAUAUACAAACAUUGUCGACAAAAGCAAUGAGAAAUACAAAAAAAAGGACGGCAUGAUAUAAUUCACAUAUAUGACGCUUGCCUAAACAGCAUGGCAUUGCAUAAUUCACAUACAUAAUGCCUUGCAACAAGAUAACAUUGCAUAAUUCACAUAUAUAAUGUCUUGCAACAAGAUGGCAUUGCAUAAUUCACAUAUAUGGUAAUUAGACACUAAACAGGUGGCAUUCACACAAAGCAUAUCUAAACUAAGAAAAUGACAUAGCAAUGCAAGAUACCAUACGCACGAUAUGAGCAACAUAACCCUGCCAAGUUAGGGCAUGCACCUCGGGGGGGAAAUAUGACUGGUCAUCUGUCUCUGAAUCCUCCUCUGAGGAGCUAUCGGUAACGAGCAAGACAUGCGCUUCGUCAGAUAGCAUUGUCUGCUCUGAAGACCUUGUUUCCACUCCAGAUUUUUCCAUGACCGUGCCGAAUGGCUGAUGCACAGGAAGAGCAAUUGAAUGUACUAAAAUUGUUGACAAAUUUAACAUGUAAUAAAAAAUGAUGGCAUGAUAUAAUUCACAUAUAAGAUGACUGGCUAACCAGGGUGGCAUUGCAAAAUUCACAUAUAUGAUGCCUGGCUAGACAAGAUGGCAUUGCAUGAUUCACAUAUACGAUAAAGAAACUAAACAGAUGGCAUUGACACAAAGCAUGUCUAAACUAAGCAGAUGACAUCUUUAAUGUAUACAGCAAGCAAUGCAAGGCACCAUAUGCAUGAUAUUACCAACAUCAGCAUGCCAAAUUAGAGCGAAGACCUCAUGGGGUAAAUAUGAGUGGUCUUCUCCUUCUGAAUCCCCCUUAGAACAGUUAUCUUCCUCUUGAUUACGAUCCGAAAUGGGUGGAGGGUGGCUGCCUUUGCACCCACCAUGGAACGACGUCUGCAUGAAAUUUUAUUGCCACGCAAGGCUCGUCUCUUUUGCUCUACAUGAUCAGUUCCACUGUGUACAAUAACUGCCAUGAAUAGGAAUAAAACAUAGUGAGAUUAUGUAAGGAGUGCAUGCACAAAUCCAGAGUGAUGGUAGCAAACUGUGGAUAGACCCAAAACCAAUGAUAGCAGGCAGAUAAUAGCUUUAGUUAAAAAAUACAGAUAAUGGCUCCUUUAAUGUUUGUUUGCACCCAACAUGAAACUCAUAGUAGACACCGAAGAUUAACCAGAUAGUAGACAGAUAGUACUGAUUGCUGCCCCAAUAUGUACCCCACAACCAUUUAAAAACUCAAGUUUCAGCAUUAGUUUGGACCUGACUCGGAGUCUAAUAGGUGAACACGACGAUAAUGUAGCAUGUCAUCAUAUUAAGCGACGCAUAACGUAAGCAGACACGGAAGAGUGCGACCUCUCUUGCGGACCCGUGUAGUCCUCAAGGUCAUCUGCUCAGUUGAUGAUGGUAAUUCAGUUGCCGUGGCUGCCGGCGGCGGGGAAGAAGAUCUGAGGCGGCGAAAGACAGUCUGGAGAGCGGAUCCCUGCUGUGGUGAACCCUUCCGUCGUUGGAGCAGCUGAGCUGGGGUGGAACACAGCGCCGCAGGAGCAGGACAAACCACACAAGGUUUUCUUUGACACAUAUCUGUAACAGAAGUAAUUGAGUAAGGGCUUGUUUGAAUUUGAGGAUUCUAACAAUGCAGGGAUAGAAAAUAGACAUGAAUAGGAUAGGAAUGCACGUGCAAAACAGAGAAUUUAAAAACACAGGAUUUUUGUCAAUCUGGGUGUUUGAUUCACAACAAUUGGAAGAUCACAGGAUGCAAAAAAGCAUGGUGAGAUUAAGUCAAACCACAAGAAAAUGUACGGUUAUAAUUCUAUUAUGCUACUAUCUCUUAGUCUUGUGCUUGAUGAAUAGGAAUAUGAAAAGGAGGAGAAGUGGAAAUUAGAAUUCCUACGGUUUUUCUUUCAAGGAGACACUAAAGGAACAAAUCCUAUAGUUUUCCUUUGCUCCAUUCCUUUGCACCAAAUUCAUGAAAAGUAGUACCAUAGGAAACUUUCCAAUUCCGAUGAUUUUCAUUCACUUUUCCUUUCAAGCACUGGCGAUUCUAGUAGGCAGGCUUGAGCAAGGAAAAUCCUACACUAAAAAAAUGUUUUUGUGCUACUUCUAUUACUUUGGACCCAGGCCACUGCCAUACUAGCUCAACUCCCAGGCCCAUCGACAAAUGCACAGCUCAAACGCGCAGAGAUAAAUAAUGCUGGCGUUCAAGAGAGUCCAUCAUGGAUAGCUAAGUUGCCUGGUACCUCACUGCUUGUCAUAUAGUAGGAUAAAAUAAUCGCAUUUCCCGUUACUACGAGUGCUCAGUGGACAAUAUAUAUAACAUGUAGAGUAAAAAAGAGAUGCAACAAGUGUACAACCUCUUUGGCGAAGCCAUGUCGAUCUCAGCGUGAUUGGGUUGGCCGGUGAGGAUGCUCCGGCUGACUUGGCUGUCGGAGGAGGGGAAGAAGAUCUUAGGCGUCUGGAGAUGGAGCCCGAGGUACUGCUCCGCUGUGAUGGAGGGUUUCGUCGUUGGAGCAGCUCCGGUGAGUUGUACGACGCCGAGGCUGAAGCAGGACAAGAGAGACAACGAACAACGUUAACCUGAGUGGAAUUCUAAUAGCAUCUCCAAUACAUGACGUAAAAUACAUAACCACAAAGUGCUAGCUGUAAAAUACAUCAGCCGCUCAUCUCUGAACUUAACUGUCGAAACUGAACUUAACUGUCGAAACUGAAUUUUGUUGUCGAAACUGAAUUUUGCUGUCGAAACUGAACGCACUAGCAAGGUGAGGCUACACGUUGGUCGACUGACUUUUCAUCUCUAGUCAGUCAAUUUUGCAGCCGUUGGAUAUGAAAUCAAGGGCCUGCGGUUCAUCUUCAACCUCCACCCCCCUAAGCCGCCAGCCACCACCGGCCAAACAGCAACGCCCCACCGCCCGCGGCCGGCAGUGCGCCGCCCCGCCCAUCCCGAAAACACUCCCCACCGCCGGUCCGCCGCCGCCCCGGCCAUCCCUCUAGGCCCCCCGUGCCGAGCUUUUUCUCCGGCGAUCCCCACGCCACCGUCCCGCCAACGCCCCGCCACCGCCGGUGACCACCGCCCCCAUCCUGAACCCUAAGAUAGAUAGUGGGGUACCUCUCCGGCGAGCCCCCUCCCCGCUGUGGCUGGUUCUUCCUUCACCCCGGUGAGCCGCCCCACCCCCUGAAAAUCGACUGACCCAAAAGUCGAUUCAGUCGACUAAAGUGUAGCUAAAUCGGAGCAGCAUCGCAAGCAAGAGCAAGAGCGAGAGCAGCAGCGCGAGCAAGAGCAAUAGCAAGAGCAGACCAGGCAGGGGACCGAGAGCAAGAGCAGAGCAGCAGCGCGAGCGAGAGCUAAAGCAGCAGCAGCUCCUACUGAUGUGGACGUCGCCGUCGAGGGAGCGACGCCGUGGAGGAAGUGGCCGGCGACGCCGCCGUGGAUGGAGCCGCGCCGUGUCGGCUCGGGACCGAGCGCCGGCAGCACCGUGAGAUCGAAUCAAGAAGAAAAUGCGGCGAUAGUGUACAACCUCUUUGGUGGCGCCGAUUAGGCCACAGCUUCAUCCGAGGAAACGGUGAUGAUGAUGCUCUUCCGGUGGUGCAGGUGAAGACGGCGGUGUGGGAAUGGAGGUGGUGCGAAAGACGAGGGGAACAUCGGGGCAGCUCCUUGGAGGUGGAGGACGGGGUGGCUGAACCGGCGGGACGAUGAGAUCGACGACGGAUCCUCAUCCGGUACGGUGGAUGAGGGACGUCGAGGUGUUGCUGUGGACGACGUCGUCGGGGAAGAGGCUCCGGCUGGGUGGCCGACGGAGCAGGGUGUGGGGUUUCGUCGCGGGUUUUCGCGGCCUCGGUGUACGAAUGGGUGGGCGGAUGGGAUGGCAGUGGGGAACCAUGGCUUAGAGACGCGCUUGUCCAAAAUGUGGGGUAAGUUACGAAAGUACCCCCACCGAUUUGAGGCGGUUCUUUUGGUUCAGGGGUACCACGGGCAUUUCACGUGUCGGGAUUUCACAGGAGGUGGGAGUUUUCGCGCGCGUUGUAAUUUCGGAAUAGCAAGGCGCGGGUUGAGAUGGAGGGAGUUGUCGGAGCACAAUGAGACAAAGAUAUAUCUUAAAUAUUUCAGGCUAACAAGGCGCGGGUUGAAGAGGCGAGAGUUUCGCAGCACGAUAGACAGAGACGCUAGCUUAAAUUUUCGGCAUAACAAGGCGCGGCUUGAAAUUUCAGAAGAACAAGCUUAACGUGUACCCAAAAAGACAAUUUGCACCUCAACACGCACAACACACACACAAACACCAUUUAGACUAGAGUAAGGUAUACGUGCAUUGCACGCAUGAGAUUUGGCAACCAAAUUGUGAAUAAAUACCACAUUAUAGCAUGCAAGCUUUGAGUCAUAUAUGCAUGAUGUAGAUGUUCGUUUAAUUCUUAUAGUUCAUUUCAUUCAAAAUCAUCUAGUUUUUAUAAGAAAGCUAAUCUAUUUUAAGAUUCACGGAAUUGUGCGUCGUAAGACAUAAAGUAAAAACAAAUAAUGGCAAAUCAUGUAGAAAAACAUUUGGGCAAUUCUGAUACGGAAGAUUCUAGAACAAAUAAGAAGUGCUUGUGUUUUGAUGUUUGUGCAUUAUGCUUAAGUUCAACCAUGGAGUCUUCUAGAUUAUACAUGUGGCGAAAUCUGGUGGAAUCUAGAUGAUAUCCAACGGCCAGUAGUGCUCAAAUUUGCCAUCUUUGGACCAUCGGAUUCGCCUCAUCCAACGACCAUCUUUCAAAGUUAAAGUUACCCGCACACAACAUAAAAAAAUAAAAAAUAUAAUAUAUAUAUAGGGGUAUAGAUAUAGAUAUGUGAUGCGAAAGCCGCCCAUCAUCUCCAAUUAGAAUAUUGUGUCCAUGCAUGGAUGCGACGUGGCCAAAUGAUGUCUGCCAUCGGCAUCUCAAAUUCAAAUCAGUCUGACCUUGUUCAAUAUGUAUACAUUACAACAUGCUCGUUUCCAAACCACACCGCGCAGAUAUUUGUUAUAUUCAUGCAUGCAUGGGUUUCAAACAUCAAGAUCUCUUAUUCAAAUAUUUGAAUUCAACUUUACAUUGAUUAUGACCUCACCUAUUCUUUUACACCCACACAGUAGUCUUCUCUUUAUAAUUGUACCACUAACUUUCUCUCGUGCAUGCAUGCACACACACUACCAGUCGGCAUUAUCCAUCGCACGCAUGCAAUCUUUUUCUUCAGGUCGGUCUCCCAUGAAGGCACACACCCACACACAUCCCCCUCUCCAUCAUAUCGGGCAUUCUUUAUCUCUCACGCGUGCUUGCGCAACGAUCGAUGUUCCUCUACGUAUGUGUGUAUAUAGCUAGGUCUUUCAUAGUUUUCCACACAAACCGAUCAAUCGAUAUAUCCAGUGAGGUCUCACCCUCUUUCCCAUGUCCACAUCAAUCAAUCUAUACCUCUCUAUAUAGGAUUAACAUAUAUAGCUAAUACACCCACAUUAAUUAUAUAUCCAACGUCCCCCUCUCAUCAUCCAUGCCUUUUGCUUCAUCUCUCAGACACGUCCACAAUGGCGAAGACAGGGGGCAGUAAGGGCCCUGCCCCCUCCCCCCUAACAUCACUAUAUAUCGAGGCUAAUAUGAAUGUGAUCAUUAGACAAUUGCUGCUAAAAUGGUUUAAGUUCAUGAAUUGACCCUCGUCGUAAAGGAUUAGCAAUGCUUGGCCCCCUAGCUCAUUUAUUUUUCAUGGCUCCGCCAUUGCGCGCAACAGCGCACGUGUUCGCCCCCUCUCUCUAAAUAUCGAUCUCGCACUUGUACAUUCCUUCAUAGUCACCCUCCACUCGGCCCCUCGCACCAUCUUCUAGCCCCCCACCGGAUUUUGCCACAUGUACAAUCUAGCAGACUCCAUGGUUGAACUUAAGCAUAAUGCACAAACCUCAAAACAACAGUGGUUCUCUUUUGUUCUAGAAUCUUCCGUAUCAUAACUGCCCAAAAUUUUUUUCUAGUUGAAUUGCCAUUAUUUGUUUUUAAUUUAUGCUUUACAACGCACAAUUCCAUGAAUCAUAAAAUAGAUUAAGGGCUUCUUCGAUUCAGAGGAUUCUCAAAGGAAUUUUGGAGGAUUCUAAUCAUUAGGAAUUUUUCCUAUCUUGGUUAUUUGAUUCGUAGGAUUGUAAACCAUAGGAAUUUUUCCAUAUGAUUCAUUUGCACUAUAUUUCAUAGGAAACAUCCCAUCCACUCAAACCUCUUUGAAAGAAUUCUGCGUUUUUUCUAUGCACAAUCAAACACUCGUACAAUCCUGUAGGAUUCAACACGACAUAACAAAUCCCAUGUUUUUCCUAUUCCCACGUUCUUAGCUUUUUUAUAAAAACUAAUUGAUUUUGAAUGAGAUGAACUAUAAGAAUUAAACGAAGGGCUACAUCAGGCAUAUAUGACUCAGAGCUUACAUGCUAUAGUGUGGUAUUUAUUCAUAAUUUGGUUGCAAAAUCUGAUGCGUACAAUGCACGUGUACCUUACUAGUACGUCGAGUAUGUGCAAAACACGUAAAUUAGAAUAGUAAUGGCACGCUACACAGUGUCUCUCUUACAGUUCAUGAAGCCACGUGGCACAUGUGGAGGCGUUGUCGCGACCUCCUUGCGUGGAUUGAUCACAGUGACGUGCUGCUGGUUCCAGAAGAAUGUACUCGUCCUCCCUGAGCCAUACUGGCGGUACAUGCACGAAGCGAAGAUGUGCACGCACGCCACGCACACACUCAUUCCCUCGCACGCACACACGGGUACACGGGCGGACGCAAUUUUGUACCAAGAUCCACCCCAUGUGAUAAUUUGACGCGUGUAAAGUCGUUCACUUCAUUGAUGGUCAAUUAAUACAGCUUAUGCAAAUUGAGUGGACGUGAGGGCGGAAGGAAGACAUUAUUACUCCACUGCGCGCAUGCGAGUAGUUAAAUCGUGGGUUGCUAGUAGUACUUCCAUUGGUCUCCUUCGUAUUUUGUGCCAAUUUUUGACAGUAACAUAAUAUUUACGCAUUUGAGCAGUGUAGUACUUGAAAUUUAUGUUCCGCUAAACUCAUCGGGGGCCGUUUCGGGCCUCGAAACCAAAACCAUCAAUUAAUCUUUACCUUGUUCCCAUCACAUUCGAAAGCCUGCUCACACCUACUAGUACGUACCAAACCUGAACGUGUUCCCACUAUGCAGGUAUUAGUACUAGUGCUAGUACUUAGGUUAUAAAAAGGGGAACUACCUAACCGAAAAUUACUCUACCUUUCCUCCUCAUAAGUGCUUCUUCUUCGUCCGUCGUUGCCAUGGCCGGUGAGCAGAGCUCUAGGUCGAGAACUACUCGUAACAAGGGUGCAGCAACCAAGGCUGCGGAAAAAAAGAGAGGGCUCGCCGCCAUGCAGAGACCUCGAAAGAUCUCUCACGGGCAGGCAAUGGCUCCCAGGAGCGCCCUAGGUGCGGAGGCGAACAUGCCGAGCGGGUGGAGCUGGAGUCGUUAUCCCUCGACGGCAUGCCCGAUCAGCUCAAUAAGCAGAAGGAGUUUAUCCAAGGCUUGAUGGAGUUGCUGAAGGAGAGCCUCGACGACAUGCCCGCUGAGCUCAAUCAGCCGGGGGAGUUGACCGCCGGCUUGGUGAUGCUGCUGAAGAAGAGCAUUGCCUCGGAGAAGAAGGCGACCGGCGAAAUCCUGCGACUUCAGGAGGACAAGGCGAAGCUCUGCCACGAGAUCGACCUGUUGAAGGAGAAGAAUGCCGGCUGGAAGAAGCUGCAUGAGAAUAGUAGUUCCUCGAUGAAGAUGCUGCAGGCCCUCGUCAUGGAACAGAAGGAGGAGUUGGCGAAGCUCCGCAUCGAGCACCCGGCUGUUGUCAAGGUACGUAAUGCGGCCGUGGAACAGAUGAUGAAGGCUCGCGUCGAGAAAUCCCGCGUCAUGGACAGAAUGAAGAAAAUGGCGGAGGAGACGCGCAAGGAGAUGGAGGUCGUGGAGGCGAUGAAGAAGCAGUUACGACUCCGCGGCGAAUUAGAUCAUUUGGGGUGAUAAUAUUCCUUCUUCUUUUGCUCCUGUGUUUCAUCUUUUGCUUCGGGUGUUUCGCCGCACGUGUCACGUUCUCUGCGAGGCAUGAAUAGAACAAUGUUUUUUUUGAGGGAAUGAAUAGAACAAUGCUAACAAUGAGAUGACUAGCAAAUUAGAUCAUUUUUUAUCGCCAUAUGGCACUGGGCUGCCGUGUUUCGUGCUCCUCCGUCGCAGUACUACUCCAGUGGAAAACUUGAGUAUACCGCACGGUUCUUUGCUCCUCCUCGAUCAGGUCGUCGGCGCAUUUAUACGAGCAGUCAAAUCACAAGGCCCCGCCUUCCAGCAGUAAUGAGCCGUCAAAUCACAAAGGCCCUCGCCUCUCGUGAAACCGACCAAGCUAGACUGCCCCGCCCUCUAGCCUUUUAAAAAAUGUAUACUAUUGUACAACAGUAGUAUCGAUGGAUUGCGCAAUGGAGCAGAACUUGAAAUUAAAAAAAAGGUGGUACAUAUAGAGAGCGCUCGUCGCCAAAUUAUGCAUAUAGUACUAUUAAAAAGGCUAGUCACAAUAAUGGUGUCCAGCACAACCCAUCCCUCAAAUAAAACUAAGAGGGUGCUUGGAUACGUUUUAGUCCCAUGACUAAAAGUAGUGGGACUAAAACAUGCUAGCCUCACCCAUGCUUGGAUCCAAAUACUAAAAAGACUAAAAUCAAGUUAAUGAACAUUUAUUAUCCUCCAAACCCUCCAAUCCAUAACUCGCCUGUGUUAAAGGAGAGGAGUUAAAUGCGUAGAGAGAGGACUAAUCCAUAUUUUAGUAGGGGUACCCCUGACUAAAUUUUUUUAGUCUCAAGACUAGUUUUAGCCCCUCUGUAGUCAGGGGUGCUUGGAACUUUAGCCUCUUAAAGAGACUAUUUUUAGUCAGACUAAAAUAAGUCCCUUGGAUCCAAGCACCCUCUAAGCAUCCUGAAAUUCUUUGACAAAACUAAGCACCCUGAAAUUCGUUGACAACUAAAUUGCUGGCUAUAUGAUGUUUGCCAUAUAUAUUGUACGUAUAUAAUGUGAAGAAACGAGUGGUAGUAUUAUACCAACUAAAAGAUGAAAUGUAAGAAAUACUAGUAUGUACGUACUGAAGAGUUAAAGUAACGAGAAGAAACAUAACAUAGUUCUGCUGGGGGCUCAGCACAACACACCCCUCAAAUUAAAUUAAGCACACCUGAAACUAAACUUUGCAACUAUUCUGGUAGACACUGCAUUAGAACCACCAUGAGCAACGACACUGCCACCUUACUCGGAGUCCUCGUCCACGUCCUCGACUUCGUCCUUGUCCCUCUUCCUCUUGGCCGAUACUUCUUUGCUUGAACCGCACACUUGGCUGUUGCUCUUCAUCCAACCCUUGUAGAUAUUGAAGCAAAGGUAGCCAUCCAUUGCAGCGUAGUGGAUGUGGUCUAUAUCUAGUACAUUCUACUGCCAUGCAUGAUGAUGAAACGUCUAUGGAGGUUUCUCCAGUUUACCGUACGAAGGAUGAACCAUGGCUCCUGCCAGGGUCAGCAUUGAAGGCUGACGAGAGGACACCAGCCGAUUCUUCUGGAGGUCGAAGGUGUUGCCUACAACGAGGCCUAUCCGACGCAGGACUUCUUUGUCAUUACCAAAGUCUACAGUAACGAAUUUGACUAGGUUGCUCUCGAGGAAGUCGUUAAAAUCCUGGCACUCAACGUCGGCAUGGCAUAUGUGGUAGAACAAGCAUAUGUCAUGCACACAAACCUGGAUCACGGCGGGCUUCUUACUCUCUUCGUCCUUUAGAUCCUUCUCUCGUCCCAGGACUGUGGUGUACUCAACAUCUAGCCCAGCGACCCACUCAUCAUCUGAGUCUUCGAACAUGCGUCUGAAGCGAGAAAGGCAUCCUUUCACCGUCGCGGAAGAACGGGUGUAGAUGACGUCGAACUCAUCACCCGUGAUGGUUCUAACCUUGUACUCACCGCCGAUCGUGGAGAUUUGGGACGCCAUGGAUUUGGGAGGAGGGUUAGGAUUAGUGGAACUGCCGUAAUGUGAAUGGACGGGACGACUAGGAGCGAACCGCCGUAGUAUUGAAGGACGUGCGGGGACGAGUAGGAGCGAACUGCCAGCGUGCGAACGGCAGGGUAGUGGCUUUCCAUUCUCCCAUGAUACGGGCUUCCGAGAGCCCUUGGAUCUGAGAUCGAACGGUUGCAUGGCGUGAUUCUAGACCUAUGGGUGAAUAUCCUAUCCUGGAGGGUUAUUCUGCAAAUUUUCAGCAAAGCAUGCGACUGUUUGAUCUCAGAUCCAAGGGCUGCCAGUAGCCCGUAUCAUGGUCGCGCCUACCACGACCGUCGCGUCGCUCGCGCGGUCGCGCCCUUGGAGAUUUAACAUGGUGCGUUAGGCUAUCUAAUGUUGGCAUGUCAUACAUAGUCAUCACUUAGUCACUCAUACUACAACAAGGUUGGCUAUAAGUGUAUUUUUUUUACUCCUCUCUAUCUCUUUCUUCGUACUCCCUCCGUUCCAUAAUAUAAGAACGUUUUUGACACUAGUGUAGUGCCAAAAACGUUCUUUAUAUUAUGGGACACAGGGAGUACUAGUAUUUAUUGCAUUUGCCAAGGAGUGACCUCUUCCAAUGAAAUGGUGUUGCUAAGUUUGCUUCAUUUAAUUAGCUAUAGACUCAAAAUUGUCUUUUCACCUAGGUACACGUGCUUAGCACCGUUUCUUCCUUGGGUCACCAAAUUAGUCUCUCUCUUCUUGAUUAACUUGCCACAUCAGACUUUAUGCCUAUGUGGCAAGCUUAAGCACCUGUAGGAGCAAGUAAAAGUAAGUACAAUAGUGCGCUUUACAUGGCAUUUUUGCAUAUGUGGAUGAAAGAGAGGCAAGGAAAAAGUGGAGAAGUGGGCUCUCAUGCAAGAGCCAGCCUCUACUACAUGGUGGAGCAUUGGGAGAGGCACCUGUAUGGAGGUGGUCAGGAAUCGGGAGACUCACGCCGGUCGUAGCGCCGCAGUUAAAAUGAUAAUGGCAAGUUAAAUCACGGGGCCCCACCUGUCCAGCAGUAACUCGCUGUCAAAUCACACAGCCCUACGUUUGCCGCAGCCUACUCCCUCGUCUUCUCGCGUCUCUGUCGAACCGACUAGGCGGAACUGCCCCGCCGCCUACCGCGCAGGAAAAGCCCCGCCCUCGACUUUUAAAUAGUAUACAGUAUACUAAUUUUGUAUCCAUGGAUUGCGCCCGCGCCAUGGAGCAAAGCGUCUAGAAAACGGCGGUACACAUGUACGGAGUAUAUAGCACGCCCGUGGCGUUCGCGUCGCACCCCAGACGGUCGGUCGGUCUGGCACACUGCUCUCCGAAUGGAACGCGCGUCAUAUUGCGUUUGCACACACAUGUGGGACGGCAAUUGAGAACCGACCAUAGGCACACUCCCCGGCCCCGCAAGUCGGGUGACUUAAUAGAAGAGGGAGACGAGCGAUAGUACUAGAGAAGUGUUGUACUACGUUGGUGCCUGGACGAUCCCUACAAGACACGGAAGAUCAGUUCGUCCAUGCAUGUGACCAGACUCCAGCAGACACGCCUAGAUUGGCUAUCAUGUACAUAUCGUGCAGGCUGUGUUGUACAUGGCUGUAGUUGUGGUGAGAAAUCUAAAAAAAGGUUUCUUGUCAUCUCGCAAAAUUAGGUGUCAUGUGCUUCGGAUCACUGCGAGGGUUAAACAACGACAACUGAGUUGGGCUAGUCAUUGGGGGCACAUGCAUGAAAAGUGACUACUCGGCUGCCAUCUAGGUCAAGCCGGCUAUGUUAAUUAGGACAUCUAUUGACGGACCCCUUUUCUACGAGUUUAUCUUUAAUUUGAGCUUUGUUCCUCGUCUAGUUUGUCCGUCGGGAUUCAUGUUGUCUCCUUUGGGCAGUGAGGUUAUGAUUUCUUGUCAUGUGGCAUUUUUUCGUGUUAUAUGUUAUAAUCCGGCGCUUCAGAUCAAAAUGACGACAACUGGGCCUCCGGGCCACGUGCAUGAAGACUUCUCGACAGUCAUUGACGAGGUCAAGCCGGCUCCGGUAUACAAAAGAAAACUAGUACUACUCCACUAUAUAGGCAGGAGCCUCCGCGCUUGCUUGCUAGUGUUGCUCUCUUCACACUGUCUCGGCCUCUCCAGAUCUAAACACGACAGCGGUGGCCACACUCUCUCUCUCUCUCUCUGCUCACCGCUGGUCACAGAUCCAGCCGGAUCCUCUCCGCUGGGGAAGGUGAGAAGGUGCAACGUUCACGCGGUCGUCCUUCGCGACGGCUCUUACCCACUGCUGGGCGCGUCCCGAUCAGCCUGCCUUGCUGUUCUCUCCCAAGCACCGCUGGCGAGGGAGGGCCUCCGUCCCCUUCUUCCUCGCUACCGUAGUGUGGGCAGAUCCGGCCUCCCGCCGCCCACCUAGCGACAUCCCGGUGACCAUCAGGUAUAACUUCCUUCGAAACCGGCCUUGCUCUACUUCCCGAGCUCCUGACCUCGCUGCAUUUGUAUCUUUUACUAUUUCUCGGGCCCCCUCGUAGAUAGGAUCGAUCGGCUGUUCGAAAACCACCUAAUUUUUUUACGUUUAAGAGGUAAAACUAGUUCAUGCACUCGAAUCUAGUACUACUUGGUUCAAACAAGGAAGAAAGGGGGUGGGGGUGGGGGAGGAUUUGUUACCUGAAUCUAGGACUUGGUCGAAAGAGGAAAUAAUGGGGGCGAAAAGUAGCAGAGACUGGCUAUCCAACUGGUCUCUAGGUCUAAUAGGGAAAUAAAGGGAAACGCAGUACAAACUCAAUAUAAACCCGAUCUAUUGGUUGAAAAAGGAAAGAAAGUGGGUACUGGGGGACAAGUCAACAGAGUAAGUCCAGCACUAGAUUUGCUAGCCUCACACAGUUUAAGGUGGCUAUACCGAACAAAAAUGGGACCAACCCAGAUAUCCUGUUCUGAUGUUUGUUGCCCUGAGCCACUCUUAUGUAAUGCCACUGGUAAAAUGUAGCACUCGCACUGUUAAAAGUAAGGACACGUUAAACCAAUGUUGUUUUCAAUGUAAUGCGUCCAGUAAUAUGAAUCAAUGGCACUUCUUUACAUGUCCUGCUAAAAUUUCCCAUUAAGAUAAGUUGGUUCUUUUUGUUAGAAAUGCAACUGUCCUGGUCCGCCUACUCUCCUGUGCCCAAAGUAAUGUCGUAUUUAACGGUUGUCAUAGUUAAUCCUAAUGCCCACCUAAUAUCUAGCAAUGCCAGUGCUUUAGAAAUUGCUACUAUCCUUGUAGGAUUGCCAUUCAGAUAAGGAACAUGCUUCUUUUCAUUUGAUGCAUGUUUCAUCACUUGUUAGUCACCCUCUUUUCCACCUUUUUCGUGCAAACAGAGAUAUACAUUUCACGCUUGAUCUUAGUUGAACUGCACAAAUGAUAUCCAAAUUAUAGUUGAGCAUUCCAGGAGCUUCACAACCAACCUUGAUGUUGCUCAAUUUUAUUGCAACUAAUGAUGAAUAAGCUCUGUGGGUUUCGUUUUCUGAUGGAAAUGGAACCGGGGCUGGAGCCCUUUUCUUAAAUUUUUUUGAAGAAGCUGCUAGCUCACGGGACAUUGCUUCAUUUUAGGUAAACUGCACCAAAAGGUCCCAUGAAUUGAAUCAUCCAUGUUGGUGACUGAAAGAGCCAGCUUCAGCAUCCCAGUCUAAGGACCCCCGGCCUCCAUCCUUGCGACGCACGGUACACCUCGUUUGCCACCUGCUCGACCCUAGUGUCACUGAUAAAAUGAAGUAAUAAUACAGUUAAAAUAGAGCGAGUGUCAUCUCUAUCAUUUCAUUUCCAAUGUAGAUAAAGAAAGUGCUUCUCUUUGUUAAUGUAUGUUUCAUCAACUAGUCCCAUUGUUAAUGUUUAAGCGUUUCUGCAAACUGGGGUGCUUAAUUUUAGUUGAUAUGUACAAAAAUAGAGAUUCGAAUGUCUCAAGGCGCCUCCUUGUACUACCUCUAUACACUGAUGUUCAUCACUAGCAGAAGGUGUAUUUGGGAGACUUGGGACGAUGUCCAGUAUGAGGCGUACCGUAUGAGGCGUCGCAGGGCCCAUCUCGCCCUCGUAGCAUGGCAUAUUAUGAUACUAUCGCAAUAUUUUCUUCUAUUUAUUUUGUGUGUUUCAUCAACUAGUGCCACUAUAAUGUAAUCACGCUUUUUCAUUAUCUGUGCAAACAGGGUUAUUCAACUGCAUUUUGGUGGAAUUGCACAAAUGUACGUAUGGGACCGGCAUAUAUGCAGAGUGCGAGGUGUGCCAAGUAAAAAUUACCGACACCAACCAUGCUGCAUGCACGCAUUGGCAUCCACCACCACCAGUGGGAUGUGUGGCGCUCUCUAUGGACGGAUCUUUCUCGGCAGCAAAUCAUCUAACCAAAUACUAGUAGCUUAUAUUGGCAGUUUUCUAGGGAGUACUCUUUUCUGAAAGAAGCACCAAUCUAUUUUUCUUUAUUUGUACACAGUGUCACAACUUUGACCCAAAGGUCCAGAGCUAUUUCAGGGUGAUUGGCGUAGUACUCGGAGACUGAUUGUAAGCAUGAUUUUCAUUAGCUGUCACACUGAUUGUAAGCAUGAGCAGGUGGAAGAUUAGGUUAGUGCGAAGCUUACCUUAAACCCUACCGCCGCCGUUGAAACAAGGCGAGCAUCGAGGGAACCGUGGAGAACGGCGGGGAAGCGACGUCGCGCCAUCCGGCCUCCUCUUGUGAUGGGAGAACGAAUACUCCUGUGGCUCCGGCUGACUCUGCACCCUCACGAACGGCACACCAUACUCGAUUGAUUCGUUAUCUUCUGGGUGCUCGACCUUCGACCUGUACGCCCACCACCUCCGCCUGACUGUCGCCUCGGGCGAAUCUGUCUGCUCCAUCGCCCAGAGGAGAUACUCGAUGAACUCGGAGGACUGCGGCGUGACUGCCACCGAGGAGUACAUGUACAUCGCCGCCCUCAUCGCCGCCGUCUCGCUCUUUCGCAUACAUUGCCACAUGGCCCGCAUCGUCCUCGAAAUCUCCCACUCAUUGUCAAACAACCUAAGGAUCUCCUUCAACCUGGCUAACUUUGCCUGGUCGCCGCCGGCGAUCUACCUGAUUCGCUGCUGCAUCCUCUCCAUAGAUGUCCUUCUGAGUGGUCCGAUGCUAGCUUUGGAAGAUGGGAGGAGAGACGGUGGUCUUGCAAUAGAGAAGAGGGAGAGGCGAGACGGUGGUUUUGGAAUGGAGAUGAUGGAGACGAGAGGAGGUGGUUUUGCAAUGGAGAAGAUCAGAAGAGGGAGAGGCGAGACGGUGGUUUUGGAAUGGAGAUGAUGGAGAGGAGAGGAGGUGGUUUUGCAAUGGAGAAGAUCAGAAGAGGGAGAGGUGAGACGGUGGUUUUGGAAUGGAGAUGAUGGAGAGGAGAGGAGGUGGUUUUGCAAUGGAGAAGAGGGAGAGGAGCGUGCGGCAGCGAUUUAGGAUUGGACGAGAGGGCCUGCGCGCUGUGACUGGAUCAAAAUCAAAAUCAAUUUACCCUUCAAUUAAGAAAGCGACCCCACAUUAACUAGUCUCCCUUUUAUUCUGGGUCAUAAUUGACAAUGAUUUUCGCACAUAAAAUAUAUGUUAUACGUUGCAAAAAUAAUAUAAUUUGAAAGUACAUUAAGAUACGAAUCAAAUGAUACAAUUUUUGGUGACAUACAUUCACAUUUUGCUUGUCAAAUAUAGUACGUGGUCGAUGGAGGAGUACAACCGAUACGUGAGGAUCGCAGACGGCGACCCUGUGAAGCUAGCUAGGAUGUUGGAGAUACAGUCUUGGUUUGACAACAAGGACCAACUAGCGGCGACGGCGACAUCCAUGGCCAAAUAUCUGCAACAGAGCGAAAAGGCGGCGAUAAUCCCGGAGGGAGUCACGCCAGAGUACAUAGAGCUGCUCCUCUGGGCCAUGGAGCAAACAGAUUCACCGAAUCCGAUCGUGAGGGAGCGGUGGUGGGAGUAUCGAUCCAGAUGGAGCAUCCAACAGAGAUUGAAGGAUCGAGCAUCUACAGGGUGCCGUUUGUGAGGGUGUCCUGCCAGAGCGAGCCGGUGGAGUCUUCGUCGACCGAACCCAACUGCAAGAGGAGAAUAGCAGUUGGCCCGACGACGCUUCCCCGCCAUCGUCUCCCUCGCCGUUCACAUCGUCUCACGGGGCGGCUGUCUGCCGCCGAGGAAUAGGAGGGGGCUGCCCCCCCAGCCCAAUAGUCGGGCAGGUUGUGAAUUGUCAGGAGGAGCUUAGGGUUGUCAGUAUUUGCAGGUUGUGAAUUGUGUUUUGUGUUGUGUAUUUUGAGAGUACUUUCAGAUAUGAAUGUCUUUUGAAUUUUAGAUUUGCAGUAUUGAGCAUAUGAAGUAUUUUAUGAAUUCUAGAGAUCUAUUUUUAGCACUUAAAAAUGUAGUUUCAUAGGAGUAUAAAAGUGCAGAUAAUGUGAUUCUUAGAGAAGAAACUGCAAGUUUCAGUUUCAGAUAAGAAACUGCAAGUUCAGUUUCAUAUAAGAAACUGCAACUUUCAGAGGCAGAGCAUUUAUAUUCACAUGGCCUUUUCAAACAAGGUUAACAUCAUGUUGGAAGUUUUAUUCAUGGUUGAAAAUGGAACUACCAGCCAGUUAACAUCAUGCUGAUCAACAUUCAUGCAUAGCACAUCUUCAUAUGAUGCACAGUCAAAAUGCCCACACAAUGUCGAGUGUGCGAAACACAGAGAAAACGAGGGACAAAGUUUUGGCAAGUGUUGGACGUGGUUUUGGGCUGCCCCGUCUAGGCUUUGAUUUUUAACAUGCGCAGCCCACGACCUCGGAUGAGAGGUCCAUAGGCUUGUUUGUAUUUUCUUAGGGCCGUCAUGUAUCGACCGACCUAUGGACCUCCCAUCCGAGGUUUUAUUUUUGGCACACUACUAGGAAAAGGGCUAUAGAUGGAAUGGCCACUAAUGGCGCACCAGACAUGUGGUGCGCCACUACUAUAUAGCAGUGGCGCACCAUGUGCUGGUGCGCCAUUAGUGUGAAAGACACUAAUGGCGCACCAGACAGACGGUGCGCCAUUAGUAACAAAGUUUUUUAUUUUUCCAAACAGACUAAUGGCGCACCAGGGCACAGUGCGCCAUUACUAGUUCUAACUAGUAAUGGCGCACCAGCCACAUAGUGCGCCACUACUAUAUUUUUUUUAAUUUUUUUGCAAAACUACUAAUGGCGCACCAGGGUACAGUGCGCCAUUACUAGUUUAAACUAGUAAUGGCGCACUGUUCCCUGGUGCGCCAUUAGUGUUUUUUUGCAAAACUACUNNNNNNNNNNNNNNNNNNNNNNNNNNNNNNNNNNNNNNNNNNNNNNNNNNNNNNNNNNNNNNNNNNNNNNNNNNNNNNNNNNNNNNNNNNNNNNNNNNNNNNNNNNNNNNNNNNNNNNNNNNNNNNNNNNNNNNNNNNNNNNNNNNNNNNNNNNNNNNNNNNNNNNNNNNNNNNNNNNNNNNNNNNNNNNNNNNNNNNNNNNNNNNNNNNNNNNNNNNNNNNNNNNNNNNNNNNNNNNNNNNNNNNNNNNNNNNNNNNNNNNNNNNNNNNNNNNNNNNNNNNNNNNNNNNNNNNNNNNNNNNNNNNNNNNNNNNNNNNNNNNNNNNNNNNNNNNNNNNNNNNNNNNNNNNNNNNNNNNNNNNNNNNNNNNNNNNNNNNNNNNNNNNNNNNNNNNNNNCAGCAAGUGCGCCAUUAGUAACCAGAGUUACUAAUGGCGCAUUAGGUGGUGGUGCGACAUUAGUAACCUGGGACGAGCUAGAUAUUUUGGACAGCCACACCUACCCACUCACUUUCCCCACUUCAUUCUCUCCACCUCCUCCUCCAAGCUUGUCUCGGCUGCCUCCUCCUCCUCACCUCAUUUGCACCAUAAAUUCAUCCAAAUUAAGUGGUUAAAUUACCUUUUUUUUUGACAGGUAAGUAAGGGGGAAGCUAUCUUUAUGUUGUUCUCCCUCUCGAACAACGUGCACAUGCACUUUUUAUGGCCUAGCUUGAUCUAUGUAUGUUUGUGGUGUUGCAUAUGUUUGUGGUGUUGCAUAUGUUUGUGGUGUUGCAUAUAUGUUUGUGUUUGCAGGUACCGGUAUUUGAAAUGCGAUAGUUGCCAAUAUUUUGCCGGAAUGUUGAUUCAUUUCCAUUUCGGCGAGAAUUUUGGCAAUAUGCAUUCUUUUUGGUCCUAUUUUUAGGGAAAAGUCAUGCCAAAUUUUUUCUUGGUUCUAAAAUAUCGUUUUGCUCUACCCCGCAGGUGACCAUGGUCCGCACGAUGACCGAAGGCAUCGUGAAUAGGUUUUUGAGCUCCGCGAAGGCCGAGAUGCUUGAAAAGAACAAGACAGAGAUAAGAUGUCUGUGUCGAAGAUGCAAGCUGAAGAGCCUUAUUGCGGACCCGGAUUCCGGGCAGGUGCGGGACCACCUGCUCUUGCGUGGUUUCAUGGAUGGCUAUCAGUGGCAAGGUGAUGAAGAUGACUAUGAACUCGCCCAUGGGGGUCGGGCAAGAAAUGAGGAUGGGCAGCAAGACAACCACCGCGGCUCGGGUGGGCGAGAAGACGAAGAAUCUCCAGGACAUGAUCACGACAGUGAUGCUAUACACAGUCAUCAUGUAGAAGAUGCCGGACAUGAUGAUGAGGAAGAUGCAGGAGCAGACGAAGGGCAUGAUCAUGAAGAUGAAGAUGCCGGCGGAGCAGACGACGAUGGACCAUCGAUGGGCUGGGUGCAUGACCCUCAUAUUUAAGAGCUGCUUCUCAAGCAGACGGAUAACGCAAGAGCUGCCGCCCGAGAGAAAGCCAAGCUGGAUCAACUGGAGAUAGACGUGGUUACUCCAUUGUAUGAAGGAUGCAGGCCCGAGGAUACCCGCCUGAAAGUAACGCUCAUGGCUCUGGAGAUGAAGGUAAAACACAAAAUGACCGACGCAUGCUUCGACGAGAACAUGUCAUUCUGGCACGAACGUCUUCCCAAGGGGAACAAGUGCCCGACCAGUUUCGAGGAGGCGAAGAAAAUUGUGUGUCCUCUGGAUUUACUGCACGUGAAAUACCAUGUGUGCAUGAACAAUUGCAUCGUUUAUCAGGACGAGCACGCGGAGUCUACCAUAUGUCCGGUGUGCGGCGUCACUCGAUACAAGAAGAGGAAGAAAGCUCCUCGAAAAGUGGUGUGGUACUUUCCGAUCACUCCUCGUCUGCAGCGGUAUUUCGCGGACCCUAAGGUAGCAAAGCUCCUGCGUUGGCACGCGGAUAGGGAGGAGAAGAAGCGAGAAGAUGACGCAAAUGAUCCGGAGAUAAAUAAAAAAGACAAGAUGCUGAGUCACCCUAAGGAUGGGAGCCAGUGGCAAGCGUUGAACUUCGAACACCGAGAAUUUGGGAAGGAUCCAAGGAACAUCGUGCUGGGCGCGAGCACCGUUGGAGUCAAUCCGUUUGGUAGCCAGAGAAGCACACAUAGCACAUGGCCUGUGUUUGUGUGGAUGUACAACCUUCCCCUCUGGUUGUGCAUGAAGAGGAAGUACAUUCACAUGAGUAUGCUAGUUGAAGGGCCGAAAAUACCAGGGAACGACAUCAAUCUGUAUCUGGGCUGCUGAAGAGGAGCUAGACACGCUGUGGAAAAUGCCAGCCAAUACGUGGGACGCCGCAGAGAAAGAAUAUUUCCCUAUGAGAGCCGCGCUGCUCACGACGGUGCACGACUAUCUCAGUUACGGAUAUCUCGCGGGGCAGGUGGUCCACGGAUUUUCUGGAUGCGUCAGGUGCAUGGAUGACACAACGUAUCGCUAGCUAGAUAGAGAUCCCGGGUCUUCGAAAACCGUGUUCAUGGGACAUCGAAGGUGGCUUCGCGACGAUGACCCGUGGAGGAAACGCAAGGAUCUGUUCGAUGGUGAAACCGAACCCCGAAGACGCCCGCGUACGAGGAGCGGCGAGGAAAUAGACGAGCUGUUGAAAAAUUGGAAAGAUUGCCCACUACCGGGAAAGAAGCAAAAGGCGCCAGAGCCGGGAAAGAAGCGAAAGGCGCCAGAGCCACUGCUGAAGGUAUGGAAAACGAGGUAUGUUUUCUGGGACUUGCCGUACUGGAAGAUCCACCGUGUGCCUCACAGCCUUGAUGUCAUGCAUAUCACGAAGAACGUGUGCGAGAGUCUGCUUGGUACCCUGCUCAACAUGCCAGAGAGGACCAAAGAUGGGCGAAAGCAAGGGCAGACUUGAAAUCAAUGGGCAUUAGGGAGGAGCUUCACGGUAAUGAUGAUGAGGCGAAGCAGGACACGGAAAGUCGUCGCAAAGGCAAAAAGGCCAAGAUGACCGGAAAUGACUUCCCUCCCGCAUGCUUCACUCUAAGUCAGGAGGAGAUCGAUCAGUUUUUCACCUGCCUCGUAGGAGUAAAACUUCCUUACGGUUACGCGGGGAAGAUAAGCAGAUACCUAGACUCAGUGAAGCAGAAGUUCAGCGGGAUGAAGUCUCACGACUUUCACGUGCUGAUGAAGCAGAUACUUCCAGUUGCAAUCCGUGGGAUCAUGGACGCGCACGUCUAUGAAAUGCUAUUUGGCCUAUGCAACUUUUUCGACGUCAUCUCUCGGAAGUCGGUUGGCGUGAGGCAACUCCGAAGGCUACAGGAAGAGAUUGUGGUGAUACUAUGCGAGCUUGAGAUGUACUUGCCGCCCGCAUUCUUCGACGUUAUGGUGCAUCUGCUGGUCCAUAUCGUGGAGGAUAUCAUCCAACUCGGGCCGACGUUCCUGCACAGCAUGACGCCGUUCGAAAGGAUGAAUGGUGUCAUCAAAGGUUACGUUCGCAACAUGUCACGUCCAGAGGGAAGCAUAGCCAGGGGCUUUCUGACCGAAGAGUGCAUCUCCUACUGCACGAAUUAUCUAGGCAUCGAGAACCCCGUUGGUCUGCCCGUCAACAGGCACCUCGGCAGGCUCGCUGGAUGGGGUCACCGUGAGGGUCGCCGCGAAAUGCAUGUCGACUUCGAUGGUCGACUCGCCGACUUUGAAAGAGCAAACCUAGUCGCGCUACAACACAUAGACGUGGUCGAUCCUUGGGUGGUAGAGCACAAAACCAUUAUUGAGAAGACGUACAAUGACCGAGGCCAACAGAGGACGGACGGAGAUAUAAUCAAAGAGCACAACUCAUGUUUCAUGCAUUGGUUCAAGCAGAAGCUUCUGUCGUACCCUUUACAUGAGGAUUCUUCCGCGGAAGAACAACUCAUAUUCGCCUUGUCACAGGGCGCCGAGCACAACCUGAUGACGUAUGAGGCGUACGAUAUCAAUGGCUACACAUUCUACACUGAGGACAAGGACAUGAAGAGCGAUGGUUAUCAGAACUCCAGGGUAACGAUGGAAUCCUACACCGGUAACGACAAGGACAGAUACUACGAAAGGAUCGAGGAGAUCUGGGAGCUGAGCUACGCUGGAGAGAAGGUCCCGAUGUUCCUUGUCAGAUGGGCCAAGAGCGUCAUAAAAGAAGACGGUAUUUCACCACCAUGGUUAUACCCGAAGCCAAAUCCAAGACCGCAGGCGCGAACGUCACCGCAAAAAAUGAGCCAUGGGUACUGGCUUCCCAAGUGGACCAAUGCUUCUUCAUUACCGACCCGUCAAAGCCCAGUCGUGUUGUCGUGAGGAGAGGCAAAUGGAAGAUCAUCGGAAUGGAUGGAGUUACCAAUGAGCAAGACUUCGACAAGUACGGCGACCCGAAGAUGGAACAUGACGACGACGAUGAAGUAUCAGCAUACACGACAAGCAGAAGCAGGACCACCCUACCUAAAGGACGUUCGUUCAAGAGAAGAACUCCAUUUACGAAAAAUAAGGGCAAGAAGAUUGUGAACAGAUAGCUAGCUAAGAUCGAUUGUAUUUAAAUUGUAGCCUUCAUUUCUCGAUUGUAUUUCAUGGGCACUUUUUGAACUCAUGAAUAUUUUUAAAUUUCAUGGACACUCGAUCUCGAUACCCCUCCAUCUCGAUCGCUAUCCCACCUCGCAAGAUCCGGCCCCCCUCGCCGCCGAGCACCCCCCGCACCCUCUACCCCGCUCCACCGGCCGCCAUCGCCGACCCCCCGCACCCUCCCCCGCUCCACCGCCGCCGCCGACCCCCCGCACCCUCCCCGGCCCGCUCCACCGUCACAAAUGAAUGCAACUAAAAUUGCANNNNNNNNNNNNNNNNNNNNNNNNNNNNNNNNNNNNNNNNNNNNNNNNNNNNNNNNNNNNNNNNNNNNNNNNNNNNNNNNNNNNNNNNNNNNNNNNNNNNNNNNNNNNNNNNNNNNNNNNNNNNNNNNNNNNNNNNNNNNNNNNNNNNNNNNNNNNNNNNNNNNNNNNNNNNNNNNNNNNNNNNNNNNNNNNNNNNNNNNNNNNNNNNNNNNNNNNNNNNNNNNNNNNNNNNNNNNNNNNNNNNNNNNNNNNNNNNNNNNNNNNNNNNNNNNNNNNNNNNNNNNNNNNNNNNNNNNNNNNNNNNNNNNNNNNNNNNNNNNNNNNNNNNNNNNNNNNNNNNNNNNNNNNNNNNNNNNNNNNNNNNNNNNNNNNNNNNNNNNNNNNNNNNNNNNNNNNNNNNNNNNNNNNNNNNNNNNNNNNNNNNNNNNNNNNNNNNNNNNNNNNNNNNNNNNNNNNNNNNNNNNNNNNNNNNNNNNNNNNNNNNNNNNNNNNNNNNNNNNNNNNNNNNNNNNNNNNNNNNNNNNNNNNNNNNNNNNNNNNNNNNNNNNNNNNNNNNNNNNNNNNNNNNNNNNNNNNNNNNNNNNNNNNNNNNNNNNNNNNNNNNNNNNNNNNNNNNNNNNNNNNNNNNNNNNNNNNNNNNNNNNNNNNNNNNNNNNNNNNNNNNNNNNNNNNNNNNNNNNNNNNNNNNNNNNNNNNNNNNNNNNNNNNNNNNNNNNNNNNNNNNNNNNNNNNNNNNNNNNNNNNNNNNNNNNNNNNNNNNNNNNNNNNNNNNNNNNNNNNNNNNNNNNNNNNNNNNNNNNNNNNNNNNNNNNNNNNNNNNNNNNNNNNNNNNNNNNNNNNNNNNNNNNNNNNNNNNNNNNNNNNNNNNNNNNNNNNNNNNNNNNNNNNNNNNNNNNNNNNNNNNNNNNNNNNNNNNNNNNNNNNNNNNNNNNNNNNNNNNNNNNNNNNNNNNNNNNNNNNNNNNNNNNNNNNNNNNNNNNNNNNNNNNNNNNNNNNNNNNNNNNCCCCUGCGCCGCCGCCCCCGCACCCCGAGCCAGAGGAGGAGGACCAGGAGGAGGACGAGGAGGAGGUCUUCCUCUUCGACUACGAGGACCCGGACGAGCUCGGACGCCCUCGAGUCAUCCCUUCGACGCCCGCUGAUUUCCUCCGCCUCGGCCACCAUCGCCACCGCUCGACGCCGAAUUCGCGCCGCCUCGACUAGCUCCGGCUACCCCGAGUCGCCCUCGACCUCCCCAGUGAGCACCCGAGCCGCUUCCCCCUCUUGAUUUCCUUCUGAUGUGUUCUAGGGUUGGGGGUUGGAGAAUUUUGGACAAGUAGUUUACACUGGUUGUCAAGCUGUAGAGGAAAUUCAGUCAGUGGAUACGAAGGUAGAGAAAUAAUCCAGGACAAAGGUUGUACACUGCUGCUAAAUGAUGAACAUAUUAUAGUGAAAAUUCAGUUUGAUGCCAUCAAAUUCAUUUAUAGUGCCUGUUAUUCAGUUAUGACUCCUUCACUGAAACUGUAGUGUUACCUAAAACUGAGAUGUAAACUAAAGGAGUUUGUGAUUUGCAGAAGCUGUAGCAUACUCCAACAAGUGAUAAAUGCACUCAAAAGUUCACUAAGAAAAUGCAGAUGCUUCUCACUUGUUACUGAAAGUUUUCUGGAGUAGAUCAAAUUGCAACAGAUUAUUUGUAGUAGAUCAAACUGCAAUAGAUUACUCAAUAUUCUUGCCAUUUGUUGAUAUGUUAUAAAUAUUGACCAUAACUAAGAAUGAAUAUUGACCAUUUGUUGCUGCUAGCACAUGUUGAAGUGUACCUGAUGAUGCUUCUGUAGAAAAUUCAAUCUUCCUCCUCAGGCAUGUGUUGUGUGACCUGAAAAAAUAUAAAUGUGUUGUGUGCCAUGCGUUGGUAAUUCAGUAAAGUCAAACAAGCACUGGAUUUAGGCAUGUUGCUUGCUGAAAUUGUAGCAGCAACAACAACUAUGGCUGAAUGAUGAACAGGUUAUAGUGGUCAGAUUAGUUCAGCAACAACAACUAUUUUCAGUUUGUCUUAUGGGUCAUCUAAAAAAAUUAGCUCAACAAGUUGCAUCUGGCUUUUACAAAGUUGUUUUGGCUUAAGAGGAUAAGUUGUUGUAUAUACUGUCAUAAAGUUCAGCAAGAACAGGGCAUCAACAGUGCUACUCUAGUAUCUAGUUGGGGAUGGACAAAUGGACAGGGCAUCACUGUAGAUGUACUGCACAACAAACUAUUAGUCUUAGGAUUAGCACUCCUCAUAUGAGAUGAGAGGAUUUUUUUUAAAUGGCUUCUUGCAGUUUUGAAAAUUCAGUUUAUUCGGUUACUGAAAAUUCAGUUAAUUCAGUUAGGCACACAAAUUUCAGAACUUUUGUGUGCCCUAGUACUUGGUGUUUGUAGAAAACCAGGAGUGUCAAUGUGACUAGAAUUCACUUGUUCUUAUAUGGGUGAAACUUCACUUGUUUUUAGGCUAGUGCAGGGUGUUGCUUUAUUCUGUCAUCAUUUGUAACUAUGUCACAAAUAAAUUGUUCCUUCUUCUGUAUUUGACAAGUAAUGACUGUUGAUAAGCUGAGGCAUGGAUUAAGCUGUUUCUUUGCUGUAACAUACUGUAUAUCACUCCACAAUGAAAUACAUUACAUAUUGAUGUGCUUUGUAAAACUUGUUCAUGUACUGAACUACUAAUGCCUUGUGAUGCUCUGAAUUACUUGUGAUGCCUCUGAAUUACUUGUGAUCCCAUUGAGAAAGACUUGUAAAGAUGAUGAUCAUCUUUUACAGAAAACAAUUUCUGUAAACACCGAGAGGCCCUUGAGUUUGCUGGAAUGUCGAUUAACUUCCGUUCCGGCAAAUUCGGGUACUCCAUAUGUCCUAUUUUCAGCAAAGGUCAUGCUGAAAUUUUCCGUGAAUGUUAGCAUGACUUUGCUAAAAAUAGGACAUAUGGGGUACUUGUGACUAAUGCAUGGGCCGGGGUCUUAGUACUUAAUUAAGUAGGAUCAACUGCCCCUUUAUUCUUGCUGCAUUAAACCAUAGGUGGCAAUAGAGCCAAGUGAUUUGGCCCAACUUAGAAUUCUCCUUCCCAGCUUAGCUUUUAGGGUGCCUCGGUGUCGAUGAGAACCUAAAUGAUGUACGCUUAGGAUUUUAGGGUGCCUCGGCGUCGACAAACCCUAAAUGAUAAAAGCUUAGCUUUUAGGAUGCCUCGGUGUUGACAAACCCUAAAUGAUGAGACCAUGAUCUUGUUCCUUGACAAUAACCAACUUUUUGACCAAACUAUUUUCCUAUUUAGAGCGAAACAUGGCCCACAACGAUGAGGCCGGCGGUUCGGGCGGCAAGCAAUUCUGGGAGCUGUCCCAGGAGAUGGAGGAAGAACCACACCGCUAUGAGGACGCCGCCGCGGAAGACACCGAUCCUGACUACACAACCCCUAGUGGCGUCGGGGAUGACACCACUGAUGGUGCCGCCGAGGAUGCCACCACUGAUGAUGGCGGCGCACGCACAGAUGGCAGCCAACCGAAGAGGCAACGGAAGGACCGGCGCCCGAACGUGCUCGGCACCGUCAAGGAGGAAUUUACUGAAGUGAACUCCGACGGGCAUCCAACGGCGCCCAAACAAGUAGUCAAGGGGUACUCGGUUCAGCUCGGGUGCAUUCUCCGGAGCAGCGUCUCGAUCAACACCGAGAACCUAAGGCAUAAGGACCGAGGGAAUUUGCGCAGCCUCCUCUUCACGAAGCUGCAUGAACGAUACAAGUUCCCCGCUGAGUUUGCAAACACACGCCUCUCAGGGAAUAAAGUGAACAGUGCCGCCCUCACGAGGAUGAGCACGGCCCUGUCUACAUGGAGAAGCACGGUGAAGGCAAUGAUUGAAAAAGGUGAUAGUUAUGAGAAGAUCAAGGCGAAAUAUCCUUUGAUGAGCGAAGAUGACUACAAGGAGUUCAAGAUCAAGUGCGAGAGCAGCGCAACCUCCGAAUCAAGUCAGUGGGGGAAAGAAAUGCGGGAGUUGAACUUAGGGGUCCACCAACUCGGUCCCGGCGGUUACAGAGUGGCGGAGCCUAUAUGGGACAAGGAGGACGUGGAGCGUGCCGAGCAAGGCCUACCGCCCCGCUUCGAGAAAUUACGUGACAAGCAGACCAGGAACUUUGUCAGGGCCCGGUACAAGGAGGACCCGGUAACAAAGGAGCUUACCACGGAUCCGAAGACCAGGGCGCUUGAGCUUGUUCUGGUAAGGAAUACACCCCCGCGUAAUUAGCUGCAUAUGGUUGCAUUCUAAUUAAUGAAGCCAAAUUUCUAAAUGGUUCACAUUCCUUCUGCAGGAGGCUGAAAGCAGUAGCGCGGGGUCGUCUCAGAGCUCCCCUUUUGACACCCCUUUAAAUAGGGCGUUGAACGUAAUGAAAAACAAGGAUAAGCUCAGUAAGCCGUCGUCAGCUGGUCGUGUGGCCGGCAAAGGCUUGUCCACAAAAUGGUCGUCAUACUAUACGGCUGGUGGGCGAAAGGAGAAAAAGACCAGCUCGGAAAGCCAGUCGCGCGAGGUUCAAGAACUCAAGGCACAAGUGGCGCGGAUUCCGGAGAUUGUCCAAGAGCAAGUGCAACAACAACUGGGAACGACGCUCACCGCCAUUGUGCCUACCUUGAUUCAGGGGCUGACGACGUGGAUUGCGGGCGGCCAACAGGGGCCUCCCCCGGUUCCCAGCUUCACGCCCAGCAACUCGCACAACGCGCAGGCGGCGCCAUUGGUGUCUCUGGCGGAGGCGGUAUUCGUGUCUCCGGCGCCGGCACAGGCAUUGGAGCUUAAUGCACCCGGGUGUACGCCGGCCGGCACCUCGCCAGCAAGAGGCCCCUCCGUCAGUUGCACGCCCGCCGUUGGCGGUGCCUCGACAUUAGCCGAGCUCGACGGCAUCACGGUAACUAAGCCUCUCGGCCGAUGACUUCAUCUCCUUGCCUUUGACUGGGCAUCCCUGACGCCCUACAUGUUUUCGCAGGGCGCCGCCGACGUUCCUUGCACUCUCCUGCACUUCGUGGGCGGCGAGUUGGUCGAUGUCGCCAAGGGCAGAAUCGUUCAACUGGGCAACCGCGUGUUCCACGGUAAUCCGAUGCCACCCAGCUUGUAUAGGGUUGAACUGGUUUGGGUGCUGCCAGGCUGCGACGAGUUGUUACCUCCGAUUCGACCCGCUGGGGCCGGCGAAGAUGAUGUGAUGACCCUCAGCGCCUGCGUAAGCUGGCCCCUACUUUGGCUGAAGAGCCAGAUUCGUUUGGGGGCGGGGUACACCACCCCACAGACAAGACCGCCAGUCGUGCCAGCGCCAAGCCAUGGCAAGAACGCCGCAACGCUACCGGACAUGCCGGACAUCCCUAUGGCACAGGAUCCGGACAUGCAUAUGGCACAGGAUCCGGACGACAACGACAACGACGGCGGUAUAUUUUCCAAUGUCGAUAAGUACUUUGCCGAACAUGGGUACGAUGACGAGUUCUGCGGGCCUCCUUCUCAAGAACCCAACCCUGAAAAAGACGACCACGAUCUAGCUGGUACGACGGAGAAACCCAAUUGCAACAGGCGUCGUCUGGCGUUCAGUUCUCAGGAGACUCCUCCAGCUACCGCCUUCACCGAGCCUCAGAUAGCUGAGGUGCGAAAUAUUAUCAGCACCAACACGCUCAAGAAGGCAGUCUGUGAGCAGAAAUCGAUCCCAUUAUAGCAGAUCAGGAAGAAGGGACGGAAAUGAAAGACUAACAAGGGCGCCAGUGCGAGCCAGCCGGCACCGAGUACGAUCCGUGCUCAGGACGGGCCACCUUCACCUAAGGAUAUCUCGAGGAGGGUGCAUGUGGCGGGUAGGGCGAUGCUACCGACAAAUAUGCUCAAUGCUGCAACCGGUGCUAUGCGGAGUCUGCAUGACAGUGUUCUUUCUUUGGAGAAGCGGCGUCUCAGAGAGAAUGAUGUGGCAUACCUGGUUUUUGUGGCCAAGGUGCUAGAGGGCAAGGGCUUUGUGGAUAGCACCGUCGGGGGUACGAUCGUCCUGCGGUUUGAUGACAUCUUUGCUAUGCUUAACCUUCAUCCGCUGCACUACACCUUCGUUCGGCUGUUUUCGCUGAGUAUGGAGAUGCGGAUCAUUAGAGACAAGACCCCGGACAUUGUGAUAGUCGACCCCUUCUACAUGUGUGCCAAGAUCUUGGGCAGCGCUGGGGACCGGCAAGUCGCGAGUUCACACCUCGAAGGCGUCAUUCUGGCAAACCCAGAUAAGGAUAACUUCCUCGUGCCUUACUUUCCCGAGUAAGUCAUCUCCUAACCGCCCCGUAACAUAUGAUUUCUUAGAUUUCGAUCGUUCUUUUUUUUCUAAUAUUCCGUGUUCUGUGCAGUGACACACAUUGCACACUCAUCCUCUUAAGCCCGAAAUAUUCCAUGGCCACGUAUUUCGACCCGGACCGUGACUCCAAGAUAGACUACACAAAUAUCAAGAAAGUUCUUGAUGAUGCUCUCCCCGGCUACGCCGCAUCUGGAGGCACCUUUAAGAGGCCAGUUCGUAGGUACGGCAGGCACGUGUUCACCCACAAUACGACGUUCCCCUGCGUCAAGCAGCCGCCUGGCGGUCAGAAGGAUGCCUACUACGCCCUCCAUCACAUGCGGGCGAUCGUACGGGAGCAUAAUCACCUUCUGCUACCAAAUAAUCUCAAAGAUUGGGCCGCAAGCUUGGCGGCAAUCCUUCCAGGACGCGGACAUCCGACAAGAAUUCUUUCGCAUCCAGUCGGAGUUUGCAGAAAUCAUCCAUCAAGAUGUCCUUCGUACCUCGGGGCAGUUCUACCUCAAAUUUCAACCGUCCAAUAGUGAGAUAGACACAACGCUACAAAUGCAGGCUGACAACGCCCGCGACUUCAUGACCAUCAUGACAGACGGCGGCUUCAUCCACGCUCCAGUCCCAUGAGUCGAGUCGAAAGUAGUGAUGCUAUGUGUAGUUCUGAAACAUUGAUUAGCCCAUGUUGUAAUUAAACUUUAAUGAAUUUGUAUGUCUCUUUGGUUUGGACAGUCAUUCAACUUAGAUGUAAUCGAUGCUAUUUAUUAGUAGGACCAUGAAUUGUGCUAUUAAUGCCUUGCUUUUCUCUUCCGAUCCUUUUGUUGCAUACUUAUAUAUUGCUGAUGUAUUGUCUGUUGUUUGGCUAGUGCAUAGAGAUGCCGUCGUAUGUCAUGUACAAGGGUAAGGUUCCCGGAGUCUACGACGACUGGGAGGAGUGUCGGAGACAGGUUCACCAUUUCAGCGGUAACAGUUACAAAGGGUAAACCACUAGGGCGGAGGCGGAAUCUUGAUACGCGCGCUAUCUAGCGGGAGAGAGGAGGGAGCAUUGGAGGAACCGGAUGAAGACCAGUUUCAUCGUGAUGAUGCUCAUCGUGAUGACCGCAGCUCUCUUCUAUGUGAUGGUAGUUUAGAUGAUCGAUAUCGACUUGUAAUGUGAAGACAAACUCGCUACUUGCGGUCUCGAGACUUGUAAUGUUCUAUCUUUGUUCGGUCUUUUGAAUUCGGAGACUAAUAUGAUGAAUUGUAUUCGGAGACUAAUCUUCUAUUGUAUUCGAUGAAUCUGCUGUUGCUAUGUGGUGCUGCUUAUAUUCUGUCCAAUAAUAUAUUUUAUAAUCUGUGCAAAAAUCAGAAAAGAAAAAAAAAAUCCCUAAUAUACAUACUAAUGGCGCAUCACCCCAACGUGCGCCAUUAGUAUGCCAAAGGAUACUAAUGGCGCAUCACACCGCAGUGCGCCAUUAGUAUGCCAAAGGAUACUAAUGGCGCAUCACCCCGCAGUGCGCCAUUAGUAUGCCAAAGGAUACUAAUGGCACAUGACACCGCAGUGCGCCAUUAUUAUGGCAAAGCACAUGGGUAAAUAUGCCCCCCCUGGGAGGCAUACUAAUGGCGCACUGCCUGGUGCGCCAUUAGUAUACCAGAUACUAAUGGCGCACCAGUGGUGCGCCAUUAGUAAAAAAUACUAGUGGCGUGGUACUAGUGGCGCACCAGUAGUGCGCCAUUAGUAGGCAAAACUGGUGUGCCACUAGUAGGCCUUUUCCUAGUAGUGGCAGCCCAAUUUAUGUAUUUUUUUGAAGAAAACGCAGAGGUCUGUUCUAUUUUUCUAUAUAAGAAUAGGAACGCCACGUCCAACUUAUGUUUCCCUUCUAACUAUAUUAUAUAUAUUUAAAUUAUUUUAUAUGUUAUUAUAUAUUAUUUUUAUUGUCAUCAUAUAUUUAACACAUACUUACAUAUGUAAGAAAACAAUAUCCCACAUCUUAUCAACUUAUAAAAAUAAUUUCUUGACAAAUAAAAUCCUGGAUUGUUUUGGCACGAAAAUCCUAGUGAUUGUGUACAAAAGCUUGGUAAGAUUUAAGGACGAAUGUAAUAAUAUCACUUAUUAUUUAAAUAUAUUUAUAACAAAAUGCUCAGCCCCUUUUUAUUUUUUGAUAACAUUGCUGGCCCAACCCAACAUUAUAAUUAGAAUCAGCCCAGCAAAAUCGUGUAUUUCGAGAAAGUGCAAAUGGCCUGUAAUUCUUUAGGAAAUAAAAUAAAUGGGCCGCAUGGACGCUACAUUAUUUGUUCACCCAGCCCAGCUAAUGGCUGCAAUUCAAAAAAAAGAUCAAAUUGAUUGUAAAUUCUACCGCGCAAAAAAAAAUACUGUAAAUUCUGAAAAAAUGGGUUGAAUACGUGCCACAUUUUUGGAGGGACAAAUGUGGGCCAAUAGGUCGAAGACAACGCAAGUCAUUGUCAAUUUAGUCAACAAAUGAUUCUGACGUGUUAGCCGUUGGAUUUACAUCCAACGACCGGCAUCCAUCUUCAAUCUCUCGUCUUCUUCCUCCAGCGCCGCCGGGACCACCUCCCGCCUCCUGCUGCUAGCAGCUCUGCUUAGCACGCUUCGCUAUGAAGCGCUACUCCACCAUUGGCCAGGCCAUCCCUCCACCCCUCCACACCUCCUGUUCUUCUCCACCGACUGCCGAACCACACCACACUAGAACCAGUUAACCCUCGUACACCUCUCCGUCUGCGACUCUACUCCCGCGUCUUCCCAUCUCCGGCUCGUUGCUGUCCGGGGCCUCGCCGUCGUCCACCACCUUGGAUGCGCUCGGCGCGGCGUGGUCAACGUGGUCAACGAACGACACCAUCGGAAGUAGACUGUGCGUGGAGAGGCUGACAGCUGUGUCCACGGCCGCACACAAGGAAAUGCCUCCUUAUUACGCGCAAAGUAAUGAUUCCUCCACCUGACAUCUGGGACCCACCGGAAGGGCCUCUGUAUUUUGCGAAAAUAACGUGCCCCCCGCUGACGUGUCGGACCCACCAGCUAUCUUCGCACGCAAGGAAGUGUCUCCUUAUUACGCACAAAAAAAUGAAUACUCCCCCUGCCAGCUGGAACCCAGCAUAGUGGGAGGCUGACUUGUGGGCCUACCAAGUUGACGGGGACGGAGGGCUUUGUCAAAUUAGUUAAUAUGAACGAUUCUAGCUCCUGUUACCGUACGAUGUUCAUCCAACGGCCGUAGUGCUUCUUCAACCUCUGGUCUUCUUUCUCCAGCCGCCCAAACCAGCGUCGGUCGUGCCGCGUGCUCCUGCCUCCCGUGGCCGGCCGUGAUGCCACGGAGGCCUCACCGCCCCCUACUACUCCCACCGCUGGCCAGGCCAUCCCUCUACUCACCCACACCCCCUGUUAUUCUGCGGCGACAGCAGCCUCACACCGCAGCCGAACCAGUGAACCCUCGUACUCCUCUUCGCAUGGGCAUCCACUGCUGCGUCUUCCCCGGCUCCGAGUCGUCCCCUUCCUAGUCCUCGCCGUCGUCCACCGCCGUGGUGCUCUCAGCGCGGCGUGGUCAACGUGGUCAAGGAAUGACUUCCAUCGGAUGUGGACUGUACGUGGAAAGGCUGACAGCUGGGUCCACGGCCGCAGCAAGGAAGUGCCUCCUUAUUACGCGCAAAAUAAUGAUUCCUCCACCUGACAGCGGGGACCCACUGGACGGGCCACCGUAUUUCACGAAAAAAAGUUUCCCCCUGACUGCUGGGACCCACCAGCUACAUCUUCGCACGCAAGGAAGUGCGUCCGGGCAAAAAAACGAUUCGCCCCCCUGACUGCUAGGACCCACCAGCUACAUCUUCGCACGCAAGGAAGUGCGUCCGGGCAAAAAAAAAACGAUUCGCCCCCCUGACUGCUGGGACCCACCAGCUACAUCUUCGCACGCAAGGAAGUGCGUGACAGUCGGGACCCACCUGGUCGAAACGUACGUAGCGUUGUCAUUCUGGUCGCGAACGUGUACGUACAUAUAUACUGGUGGAUGUAGAGGCGCGCACGUGUCGUAGUAGAGGUGCGUACGUGUCGUAGUAGGGGCGCGCACGUAGCAUGUACACGUACGUACAGCGGCCAGGGUGCAAGAAAGAAAAUAUGGCCACGUAUGUGUACAUACGGGCGGGGUCUCGAACGCCUACUCGCGCAUACGUACGGCCAGGGCUCGUGUACAUGGCUGGGUCGGAACAGAGAAACAGUGUCGUCGUCGUGUUCAUGGGGAGGCAACGGAAUGCGUCAUGUUCAUGGGGAGGCAACGGAAUGCAUCGUGUUCAUCGGGAGGCAACGGAACGCGUGGGAGCCAACCGGCUGGGUCGGAACCGAAUGCGUGGUCAUGUUCAUCGGGAGGGCUUGGACGGAACAGGCGAUGGAAACGAGGCAUGGCGUACCGCAAAACGGAGGAAACGGACCUCCUACAUUCGGAACGGGGUCCUGUUGAUCGGGAGGGGUGUGGCGUACCGCAAAACGGAGGAAACCGACCUCCUACGGUCGAAACGGGGGUCCUGUUGAUCGGGAGGGGUGUGGCGUACCGCAAAACGGAGAAAACGGACCUCCUACGGUCGAAACGGGGGUCCUGUUGAUCGGGAGGGGUGUGGCGUACCGCAAAACGGACGAAACGGACCUCCUACGNNNNNNNNNNNNNNNNNNNNNNNNNNNNNNNNNNNNNNNNNNNNNNNNNNNNNNNNNNNNNNNNNNNNNNNNNNNNNNNNNNNNNNNNNNNNNNNNNNNNNNNNNNNNNNNNNNNNNNNNNNNNNNNNNNNNNNNNNNNNNNNNNNNNNNNNNNNNNNNNNNNNNNNNNNNNNNNNNNNNNNNNNNNNNNNNNNNNNNNNNNNNNNNNNNNNNNNNNNNNNNNNNNNNNNNNNNNNNNNNNNNNNNNNNNNNNNNNNNNNNNNNNNNNNNNNNNNNNNNNNNNNNNNNNNNNNNNNNNNNNNNNNNNNNNNNNNNNNNNNNNNNNNNNNNNNNNNNNNNNNNNNNNNNNNNNNNNNNNNNNNNNNNNNNNNNNNNNNNNNNNNNNNNNNNNNNNNNNNNNNNNNNNNNNNNNNNNNNNNNNNNNNNNNNNNNNNNNNNNNNNNNNNNNNNNNNNNNNNNNNNNNNNNNNNNNNNNNNNNNNNNNNNNNNNNNNNNNNNNNNNNNNNNNNNNNNNNNNNNNNNNNNNNNNNNNNNNNNNNNNNNNNNNNNNNNNNNNNNNNNNNNNNNNNNNNNNNNNNNNNNNNNNNNNNNNNNNNNNNNNNNNNNNNNNNNNNNNNNNNNNNNNNNNNNNNNNNNNNNNNNNNNNNNNNNNNNNNNNNNNNNNNNNNNNNNNNNNNNNNNNNNNNNNNNNNNNNNNNNNNNNNNNNNNNNNNNNNNNNNNNNNNNNNNNNNNNNNNNNNNNNNNNNNNNNNNNNNNNNNNNNNNNNNNNNNNNNNNNNNNNNNNNNNNNNNNNNNNNNNNNNNNNNNNNNNNNNNNNNNNNNNNNNNNNNNNNNNNNNNNNNNNNNNNNNNNNNNNNNNNNNNNNNNNNNNNNNNNNNNNNNNNNNNNNNNNNNNNNNNNNNNNNNNNNNNNNNNNNNNNNNNNNNNNNNNNNNNNNNNNNNNNNNNNNNNNNNNNNNNNNNNNNNNNNNNNNNNNNNNNNNNNNNNNNNNNNNNNNNNNNNNNNNNNNNNNNNNNNNNNNNNNNNNNNNNNNNNNNNNNNNNNNNNNNNNNNNNNNNNNNNNNNNNNNNNNNNNNNNNNNNNNNNNNNNNNNNNNNNNNNNNNNNNNAACGCUCACUGUUCAUCCAAUCGAUCGGCUUCAGUUAGCAGCAGUAGCGAAGGAAUCGCUCGAUUGGGUUGAGUUAACAACCAUUGAUCGAUCGCUCAGGUUCAGUAACGCGUAGCCUACAGUGCAAUCGCUCGGGUUCAGUUAGAGCCGAACGCCUCGCUCGGGUUCAGUUAGAGCCAACGCCUCGCACACACGCGCGUACGUGUACAAGAGAAACGCGCAUCGCUCGGCCCCCGACCUCCCACCGUAACCGGGAACUCCCCGAAAUUUCCCUCCCCCUCGCUUCUACCACGGUUUUUUCCGUCAUGGACGGCUCAAAGAAUGUCAUGCAGCUGCGUCUCCGGCCCGCCCAGGACGAAAAGCCCAUUUUCUUUCAUCAUUUUUUGUCAUAGAAGUAGGAGCCCACCACAUCUAUGAUGAUACCGGGUUUUGUCACAAUUAUCGUCAUAGAAGUGUCAUAUGUAUGACAGAAAAAAAAUUCGUUCGGCCCAAAAUGUCACGGAUGUGUCUUUUUUUUGUAGUGCUCAUAUCAUGCAUUGGUUCUUCAGACUCCGUUUUCUCUGAUUUGCUGUCAACUAUAUCCAUUUUACGUCUUUUUGUAAACCUAGGCGAUCUACGUGUGCAGAGCUCAUUUCGAGAUAGGUUUUCUUUGUUUUCUAGGGUAAUCAGUUAAUCUGCCAAUCAAACCAUACGUGAGAAAGCUGAUAUAAAUCCUCACAGUGCUUAAAUGACAAAAAACACAAAAUUUCCUCUAUCUCAAAUGUAUAAGCACCGUAUGAUAAAUGCCCCUCCGAUAAAGAUAAUAGCAAUUCUAAACUAGACAAGUGGUAAACAACAACAUGUUGCGCUCAAACCAAGAUCUGUUAUAUGCUCACGAUACUCCGGGGAUUUCUUAUAUAUAUGUUGACAACCAUGAAAUUCCAGCGACCAUGGCGCAUAAGAAACUGCAGUAAUUGAUGGGACUUGUUCAUUAUUUAGGAUUCGAGUACCGCCAUCUAACAAAUAAAAAGCAUCAACAUAUACUAAAGGGCUUCGACUUUGUUACCUCUAGCCCUCAGAUCCAGACUAGAACCUACGACACCGAAAGCUUGGAGGUCCACUCCAGUUCCUUCCGGUGGUGCGGUUGCGAAACAGCGAUGGCGGCAGUGAGGUGUGGCACGACGGACCGGCCCAAUCUAAUAGUUCCUCGAACAAAAACGGAGAGGCAGGGGGUGAAAGAUGGACACAAUGAGUUAAGUACAGGUGUGGGCUCCACCAUAUCUAUUGUGUGUGAAUACACACAACAAAAUAUCAUUCGGCCACUGUUCAUACAUUGACUACGGUACAGAAAUGAUUUAUACGCAUGAAUCGCGCGAUGGAUCCGACGCCCUUGCGGUACCCGGUAGAAACCGGUACCACUAGUUUUCCAUUUUGCAUGGAGGCUGCUGAAAGCAACCGGUUUCUCGUGAUGAGAGAUGACUAUCUUCACGAGUUGUUCAUGGGGAGAAAACAAUGGAAUGAUGAGGCUUGAAUAGCUGGGAAGGAGAGAUUGCUUAGGUAUCAUCAAACCGGCUCUACUCUAAGAAGACUAAUGGAGAACAACAAGAUGGCGGAGAAGAAGAGCGAGAAGGAGGCAUCAUCUGAGAGAUUGCUAAAACUACAAGUUUUUUUAACUCAUGUUCUAUCAAUUUUGAACCUAGGACUUCGAAUUUUCAAGCCCAUAAGCUAGCUAGAUAUGGUGUCUCUCUGCCUGUAGGGAGACUGAGGGAGUCCUGGACUAAGGGGUCCUCGGGCGUCCGGCCUGUUAACCAUGGGCCGGACUGGUGGGCUGUGAAGACAUGAAGGUCGAAGACUGUAUCCGUGUCCGGAUUGGACUCUCCUUGUCGUGGAAGGCAAGCUUGGCGACCGACUAUGAAAAUUCCUUCUUAUGUAACCGACUCUAUGUAACCCUAGAUUCCCCCGGUGUCUAUAUAAACCGGAGGGUGUAGUCCAGAAAGGAUAUACUCAUUACCAUAGUCAUACAGGCUAGGCUUCUAGGGUUUAGCCAUUACGAUCUCGUGGUAGAUCAACUCUUGUAAUACUCAUAUUCAUCAAGAUCAAUCAAGCAGGAAGUAGUGUAUUACCUCCAUAGAGAGGGCCCGAACCUGGGUAAACAUCAAGUCCCCUGUCUCCUGUAACCAUCGACCUUAGACGCAUAGUUCGGGACCCCCUACCUGAGAUCCACUGGUUUUGACACUGACAUUGGUGCUUCGUGACACCCCAAAUUUUUGGCCUUGUUUUACUUAUUAAAAUAUUGCCAGGAAAUAAAACUUUUCCAAUUGUCAAGUUUUACCUUUUGUGAUUUUGGAUUUUUGCCUCUAGGGGAGAAAACUUCAAAGGUAUUGUUGGACUUGAUUUAUCUCUAUAAUAAAACAAUUAUUUAUCAGUGGAUUCAAAAGUUGCAAGAUUUAUUUCUUCAAAAGCUUUCCUUCUUUAAAAUGAUUUCUUUUGCAUUUGGGGCCUAUUUGCACUACAAUCUCUUGACAAAUGCUUUCAAAAAUUCCACCAAAAUUUGGGGAUGUCAUGUGAUGUUUCCACAUCACUUUUAUGCAAAAUUAUCUUCUGGCCAUUGGAGAUUUUGAGCUCUACACCAAUUUUUCCAAUCUGGUCCAGUAGGUAUUUUUGCACUGCAACCCAUUUAAAUAUUUCUUCAAAAAUUCUUCCAAGUGUUUGGAGAUGACAGUGGAUGCAUACAAUUCAUCUUCAAGCAAAAACCCAAUGAUGUUCUUUGGAAAAUUUGAGUGGAUCAACCUCUUUUGCAUUCUGGUCCAAUUUGGUGAUUUGUACUGCAACCAUAUUUUUCCUUGCUCUAGUGACCCUGAGCUUUCUCCUACUUGUAGCCCUCCCUACCAAACUCUUAAGUCCGGGAGAUUGGGCUCAUUGGAGGUUUUGAAGUGCAUACUCUAAACCCUUCUGUUUUCUGUCCAGAACUGGAGUUUUGCAAAUCUUGCACUAUCAACUUUCUGUUUUUGCCAAACUAAGCCUACCACCAUCUCCUGCAUCUAAAGAGACACUGAUCUAGAGAUUUUGGCCACUCCAAGAGUUGCCUAAGUGCACUUGGCAUUCUGUCGAACACCUGGUGUGCACAGUCUUUUUUGGCAAGCUCUCUGGUUUGCAUUGUGGACUUGUACCCUAGCCCCUUCAACCUUGUCCACUGAGCUUCGAGCCACCCCUACCCUUGAUCUGUGCUUUGCCAUCUCCACCCUCGCGCUCUAGACCACACUGGCAUUCCGUCGAGCACCUGCCGUGCGUGCUCUGGGCGCGCCCAGAGCGCACGUUUUGCACGCGCGCGCACUACGCCGACACGCCGCACUGCCGCGCUCGACGCGACCCGACCCUGGCCCCUUCUGCAUCGCUGAGCCGCGCACUAGCCGCCCCCUGCUCCACGAUACCUCUGGCCCCCUGCUGCGCCGCUGGCCGCGCCCUUGGCGGCAUGCCGGCGUCGGCAGUGGAUUCCGCCGCGGACGGCGCCGCCCAAACCACUAGCGCACGCCAGCUGCCCCGGAGCACAGGUCGUGCUUAUCCUCCUGCUCGUCGGGACGCUUUCGUCGCCGCUGGGAUGGCCUGCAACUACAGCAAUGGCUGUCGCCGACGAGCUUAUCUUCUGCCGCCACGGAGCCCGCCUCGUCGCGGUAUAAAAAGGAACCCCGAGCCCCUCCGAGCGUUCAGGCGACAUCAGACUUCUCCCGUAGAGCUUCCCGCACAGUAGAUCGACCGGAGAGGACCGUUUCCCCCAACUCCGGCCAACUCGGCCGCCGCCAAGCUCCGGUGCGAUUCGUCACAACCAGUCGCCCUUUCGCCCAACUAGCGCCACCAGAAGCUUCCCCGUAGUCUUGCGGAGCUGCCCAGCUACCCAGCUUCGGUCGGAGACCACCGGAGCACAAUAGUCACUCCACCACCGUAGCAUCCCUCCGCCGCGGAGCUCGCCGCCGGCGAUUCCUGCCACCUCCGUCGACCCUUCAACCACCCAGAGGAUCGCCUCGGUCUUGCCGUCCCAUCCCUGCCUGCAGAUGCCCUCAAGGAGCCGCCGCUCGUCGCCGGUGAUCGGCGGAGCCCCGCCACCGUUCGGGCAGAAGAAGGAGAUGGAGGGAAGAACGGUCAAACCUGACCAGUGGGCCCUCGGGACCCACUGUCAGUGACCCACGCGGCCGCCCUCUCUCUGCUUAAGUGAAGGCGCAAAACCCCGCGUACGUUUCUCUGCUGCGAGAGUGUAUUCCCCGCGAAGCGUUUUCCUUUUUUUGGUUUUAUUUAAAAACAGAUUUGACCAAACUUUGACUGGCUAUAACUUUUAAAAUAAAACUCCAAAUGAGUUGAUUCUUUUUCCUACCUCUCUCAAAUGUCAUCUAGUUUAUUUUAAGAUUUAUUUCAAAAAUAUUUGAGACAGGUUUUGGUACUGUGUUUGAAAUAUUUGUAUUUGUGUAUUUUUUUUUGCAAAAUAGGAUUUUUGGAGGAAAAGGAAAGCUUCCAAUAAGUGCAUCCUUUGCAUACUCUUGAAGGCAAGCAUUUCUGAACUCUGGCAUAAUAUUUUGGGAGGUGUUUGGAUAUGGUUACAACACCUUUUGACUUGGAGUAUGUGACAGUUUAUGUAUCGGUAUGGUCUCGUGCACGAGUGCACUUUGGAGUUGUUUGUGGCCAGCAAUGGAUACACUAAGGAUUUGGAUCAUCCUCGUGAGCUUCCCUUGCACACCGGUAGGAGGCCGGGAAAGUCGUGGUCUUGGGUAGACGCGAGCUUGUCCCAAAUCCCUCGUUGAGACGAGUAUGCCCGGCACAGCAUGGUGAGGCUCGAGGAGUGGUGAUUUAUUUCACUAGAGGUAAUAUCGUUGGUGGAUACUUGGACCACCUGAGUCGGUUGUAGACCGAGUCUUGUUCAAUAGCUUCCUUUUGUCGGUACCACCACUUGUCCCUGCAGGGGACAGGGUAUGGUUCAGUAGGUUGUCAACCCCUUUCCAAAGCACACACCGUACAGAGAGGCCGUGAUGAAGGUCCCGUGGCCACAGAUUAAAGCCUGUCAUUCGGUCCGGGGGCAUGGGUGUUUCCGGUUGGAGCCGAGGGGGGUUGCUCCCCUAGUUUGCGCGCGGUAUAAAUUCUGUGAUCCCAUGCUACUCGAGGUUGUAGCCUCCCCACUCAGAAUUUUGCUUGGCGGGUGUCGUGGGUGAUUCCAGGCACUAGUGGGUUAAGCUGGUGUGUGCAGGUCAGGCGUGUUUUCAGUCAAAAGACCGUAGACGGAAUUAGUCCCGAGGGACUGAGUAAUCCCGUUACUCGUGGAAAAUGGUACUCCCUCUGCAGAGGAUAUAUCCUGUCGGAUAGUCUUGUUCUUGAGUAAAGGACCACAGCCUAAGUUGAGUCUAUGUAACGGUAUUCGAAUGGAGAACGAUUUAACUAGAGCUUAGUAACGGAAUUCGGAUGGAGAUACGGCUUGACUAAAUUAUCAGUUUUCGGAUGGAGAAACGACUGUAUUAAAUUUUGUUUAUGAUUAUGGCACCUUUGGUUUAUGAUCUUUAUUGUUUUGGACUAACCAUUUAUAUUACGCACGUUAUUGAGUAUCCCUGGGAUGGUUCUACCUCCUGGAUAUUCACUGUGAUUAUUCUCUUAUAAGCCCUUUCUGUGGCGUCGCUCAGACGCCCGACUGCGGCAUUAUUAUUGUUCAUUUACCUUUUAUAAGCCCUCUAUGUGGUGUCGCUUAGACGCCCGACUGCGGCAUUAUUAUUGUUCAUUUACCUUUUAUAAGCCCUCUAUGUGGUGUCGCUCAGACGCCCGACUGCGGCAUUAUUAUUGUUCAUUUACCUUUUAUAAGCCCUCUAUGUGGUGUCGCUCAGACGCCCGACUGCGGCAUUAUUAUUUCUGCAUUUUUUCGCUCGAGGAGUCAUUCAGACACUCGUUUGGCACCUGUAUUAUUAUUCCGCAUUUUCCGCUCGAGGGGUCAUUCAGACACUCGUUUGNNNNNNNNNNNNNNNNNNNNNNNNNNNNNNNNNNNNNNNNNNNNNNNNNNNNAGACGCCCGACUGCGGCAUUAUUAUUGUUCAUUUACCUUUUAUAAGCCCUCUAUGUGGUGUCGCUCAGACGCCCGACUGCGGCACUAUUAUGGUUCAUUUACCUUUUAUAAGCCCUCUAUGUGGUGUCGCUCAGACGCCCGACUGCGGCAUUAUUAUUUCUGCAUUUUUUCGCUCGAGGAGUCAUUCAGACACUCGUUUGGCACCUGUAUUAUUAUUCCGCAUUUUCCGCUCGAGGGGUCAUUCAGACACUCGUUUGGCACCCAGUAUUUUAUUUUGGUAUAUUUUUAGCCGUAUGUGGGCAUCUUGGUCUUAUGUAUUUUUCGUGACAGGCGUGUGAUCAUCUAAUUAAUUCGGAACAUGUUUUUGAUUUAUUAUACCCGUGUUCUUAAUGUUUGCGAGUACAUUCAAAUGUACUCACUGGCUUGUCCCUGGCUAUUGUCUUGGCCAGAUUUCCUUGCGUGGAGGUAUGCAUCGCGGUGACAACCUCGAAACCUAUGCUGUUGACGUUUGCAACCUCGCGAAGAUAGGAGUUAUCCUGGUCAGCUGUUCUUGUGGGAAAUGGAGUCCCAUUGACGCAGAUGUACCCCAGUCGCUUCCGCCCUCAACCAUUAGAAAUCAAAUGUUGUACUCCUAGGCCUAAAUGGUCUUGUACUACAUAUUUUGUUCCUUGCUUGGAAUUCUUGUAUCAAGUUGGUGCCUCGUCAGCUAACAGUAAUCCUGGGGCUGGUGAGCACACAGGCCGUCUUUCUGGGAACUUAUAUCCCAAAAAUCCGGUCGUGACAGACUUGGUAUCAGAGCCAGGCUGACCAUUGGCUAAUCCUAUCUUAGCCAGGUCAAUAAACCUAGGUUAACCCAAACCAUCAGACCUUAGCCUGACCCCGGUCAAGCUUCCCGCAUAAGGUAGCUCCACAGUGACCCGACGCCCUUUUCGGCGGACGGUGCCCAACCUAUCAGCCUAGCCCGUCGAUCACACGCCAGUGACCGACACCCAACCCGUCUCUAUCGCAAGCGUGUGGAGGAAGACUCCGUCCCCUUUUCCUAUAAAUGGGGCACGCUAGCCACAACACCGCACAGCCUCUUCCUCCCAAACCCAACCACGAUGCCUGGUCCCAUUAUUCACAAUGAGACCACAGCGACCAACCUAGGAGGUUUUGUGACCGUACUCGCAAACCUCACCCGCCGUGCCUAUGCGUUGGAGGAGCCCCCUGAGUAUGUUGUGUACCAAGGACCCAUGUACGGUGAAAGCCGUCAGUACUGGGCCACUGUGCACAUCUACGGUAGGGGUCUGUCGCCAGAACGCCCCUACAGGUUCACUGGAAGGACCACUUCCUUUGAGCCACAAGCCAUCCAACUGGCAGCCCGCGAAGCUAUAGUUCAACUCCGGCACUUGUCGCCCAGAGUUAACUGUCGCUCGUUCCACUACUACCCCAGUCGUGACGGGUAUGGUAGGCCGCCCCAAGUCGCCAACGGAGACCACGAGACGGAUCCGACGCUAUUGCAUCUGGUGCGCUAUGUAAGCACACUGGAGCAACUGUUCGAUCAGGUCACUCUCGAUCUGAUCGCAGCUCGUGGAGAGCUGGGUCGCCGAGCCCCGGCGAGAAGAGAAGCGGAGCCCGACACCGACAACCCAGUCGUGCUGUUCGGACACCCGAUCGAUCCCUCGAGGUCUGCGCCAGCCCUCAACCAGAGCACCUUGGUGACCCCAGAAGCGCUUCGUCGCCUUUUGGAGACCCAUUCCAGCGGGAUUUGGGCCAACAACCCCCGGGAUGGUCAUCACCUUUUCCCCGACCCUGCAGCACCUCAGCCUCAGCCAGCAAAUCCCGACGGUGAGAACCAUGGAGAAGCAUCGGCGUCCGCAAGGCCAGCUCACCUAGACAUUAACGAAGUAGACUAAGUCGCUCAAAAUUGUAUCGAGCCUUAGUUUUCCUACGCUUUGUAAUGUGUGGCCUUGUACCGCUGUUGUUGCAUGCUGUCUGUUUGAGCGCUCCUAUUUUUGGAGUAGUAGCUAUGCAUGUGUACGUUGGCGUACAGUUGCAUUUUUAUAUUUCGGGCACAACUGCCUAGACCAACCCCGUCGGCACCCACGGUAAUGCGUCCCAUUUAUGGGACGUAUAUAUCUGUAGCUUUGACCUGAGUACAGGAUCGUCAGCCAGUUACCUUUCACCCCGGUAGAUAUCCCAGCCCCGGUGCUUUAUAAAGGCCGCUUCGUGACCUUGCCGAGCACCCCUCACCUUUGUGCGCAGCACUCACAGCCAUUCCUUGCCAUGUCGACCCCCAGCAUUUAUCUGAGAACCCCAGACGCAACCCCAGGCAGCUUUGUCAAAUUAUUCUGGGACUUUACCUGCAGUACUAUGAGCGCCACCCGUCCACCCCAGUACGAGUUGCUCAAAUCGAGGAUCACUCCUUCCACCUCGAAAUAUUGGGCAGUGGUGCACAUCCCUCCCGCCUACCCAAACCAAGAUCCCACGGAAGUCGCCUUCGUGGGGAAAUCCAUGCCGACUCCACAGAUGGCCAUAGAGGCUGCUGCGUACGAGGCGCUCACUCGCCUUCGAUUCGCAGUACCCUAUGCCAGCGAGCGAGGAUACUAUUAUUUUCCGGGUCGUGCAGCACCAGGAGAAGUUGCAUCUUUUCCCGGUGGGCGCAUUGAGAGAGAUCCAGUACUGGCCAACCUUGCCCAGUACGUCAUCGCUCAGGAGCGUUUAACUCAGCGAGUAAUGGGUUAUCUCCAGAGCCUCGCUGAUUUAAAUCCUCGGAUCGCUAUUGGCAGACCACUGAGGCCUGGCCAAGAAGGGCGCAUUCAUCGUCUGGUCAACCCGCUUCCCCCGAUAGAACAGGAGUGUGCCCCAGUGCCAGAGGCGUUUUCUCAGGACCCUGUCGCUUUACCGUUUCCUUUGUAAACACAUCUGAUGUAUUUAUUGUCCAGUACUUGUAUUUAUGUGUUACCGCAUGUUCGUAAAAUCUUUGUGCAACGGAUCCGACUUCCUUUAGUUACUGUUUCGUGAGCAGUUUUGCUGCUGUUAGUUUGGUUUUAAUUAUUUUCUUCUCGCAACAUGUUUUCGAGGGGAUUUCUUUUCCCCGAGUUAUUGCCGCGUAUAUAUGCAUUUUCUCAACGUGGAUCUUUAUUCGCGCAACAUCGUUACUCUCAGCAGCCACCACUCGACCUCGAGCACUAUUACAAAUUCUUGAGCACACAAUUUUUGCGCCUAUCUAACCAACCCCGAGGAUACCACAGUCUCAGUAAGAGAGAUGUGUGAGUGUCCCUUCACGCGCGAGCUGCCCCAGCACUCCGACAGCAGUCAGCCCCGAUGCCGCGCCUAAUCCACGUGAUCGCCGCCACCGCGAAGAGCUCACACUCAUGCGGCAGCAUCACGACGAUCAUCCAGGAUCAUCGCGCACAGGAGCACGGAGGACCCCAGCAGCACCGCCAAGCCUCCACACACCAGGACCACAUACCAGUCCGGCAUUGCCUCCGCCAUUAGAGCUUUGGCUCGAGCUCCUGCCAGCAGCUAUGGAGGAGAAGGAGGAGGAGUGGAAGCGAGGCCGGGUGUGAGGAAGAAGAGAGGAGCACCGCGAUCAUUUUAUAGCCCGAGAUCGGUGUACGGUGGGCGAGGUCCACCACCGCCACCCGACGCUCGACCGCCGGUGUUCGGAGGCGAGUCCGCAAGCAGUGCCGACAGCCCCUGGCCCGCGAGGUGAGUGCACGCUGCACCGGCAGCUAGCACGCCGCGCACUACCACGGUACGGCCUCGAUGCCCUACGAGCUAGGCAUCGCCGGUGGAGGAAGCGCGGGAGAACGCGCGAGAGAGAAGAGAGAGCCAGAGGAAGGAGAAGAGGCCGACAGUGGGCCCUGGGCCGACCUGUUAGCCAGAGAGAGCACUGUGCUCUCGGGUGCGACCAGUGUAUUUUUGUAAUUUAGAAUUUAUUCUAAAUUACUGUAUCCCGUAGAAAUAUCUCGUUUUCCCUAACCGUGGAUUUUCCCACACUGCGCCAGUGUAGCACACUGUGGUUUUACACCACUUAUUGCCCUCUCACUGUAGCCAUCUGGUUUUUGUGCAAUUGAAGGAUUUCUUUGAUAAAAACAAAUUUAUUUCAAAAAAAUUCUUGUUCAAAACAUCUUUUAACAAAUCUCGAGGACGAGAUUUUUCUUAAGGGGGGUAGUGUUGUGACACCCCACAUUUUUGGCCUUGUUUUAUUUAUUAAAAUAUUGCCAGGAAAUAAAACUUUUCCAAUUGUCAAGUUUUACCUUUUGUGAUUUUGGAUUUUUGCCUCUAGGGGAGAAAACUUCAAAGGUAUUGUUGGACUUGAUUUAUCUCUAUAAUAAAACAAUUAUUUAUCAGUGGAUUCAAAAGUUGCAAGAUUUAUUUCUUCAAAAGCUUUCCUUCUUUAAAAUGAUUUCUUUUGCAUUUGGGGCCUAUUUGCACUACAAUCUCUUGACAAAUGCUUUCAAAAAUUCCACCAAAAUUUGGGGAUGUCAUGUGAUGUUUCCACAUCACUUUUAUGCAAAAUUAUCUUCUGGCCAUUGGAGAUUUUGAGCUCUACACCAAUUUUUCCAAUCUGGUCCAGUAGGUAUUUUUGCACUGCAACCCAUUUAAAUAUUUCUUCAAAAAUUCUUCCAAGUGUUUGGAGAUGACAGUGGAUGCAUACAAUUCAUCUUCAAGCAAAAACCCAAUGAUGUUCUUUGGAAAAUUUGAGUGGAUCAACCUCUUUUGCAUUCUGGUCCAAUUUGGUGAUUUGUACUGCAACCAUAUUUUUCCUUGCUCUAGUGACCCUGAGCUUUCUCCUACUUGUAGCCCUCCCUACCAAACUCUUAAGUCCAGGACAUUGGGCUCAUUGGAGGUUUUGAAGUGCAUACUCUAAACCCUUCUGUUUUCUGUCCAGAACUGGAGUUUUGCAAAUCUUGCACUAUAAACUUUCUGUUUUUGCCAAACUAAGCCUACCACCAUCUCCUGCAUCUAAAGAGACACUGAUCUAGAGAUUUUGGCCACUCCAAGAGUUGCCUAAGUGCACUUGGCAUUCUGUCGAACACCUGGUGUGCACAGUCUUUUUUGGCAAGCUCUCUGGUUUGCAUUGUGGACUUGUACCCUAGCCCCUUCAACCUUGUCCACUGAGCUUCUAGCCACCCCUACCCUUGAUCAGUGCUUUGCCAGCUCCACCCUCGCGCUCUAGACCACACUGGCAUUCCGUCGAGCACCUGCCGUGCGUGCUCUGGGCGCGCCCAGAGCGCAUGUUUUGCACGCGCGCGCACUACGCCGACACGUCGCACUGCCGCGCUCGACGCGACCCGACCCUGGCCCCUUCUGCAUCGCUGAGCCGCGCACUAGCCGCCCCCUGCUCCACGAUACCUCUGGCGCCCUGCUGCGCCGCUGGCCGCGCCCUUGGCGGCACGCCGGCGUCGGCAGUGGAUUCUGCCGCGGACGGCGCCGCCCAAACCACCAGCGCACGCCAGCUGCCCCGGAGCACAGGUCGUGCUUAUCCUCCUGCUCGUCGGGACGCUUUCGUCGCCGCUGCGUUGCCCUGCAACUACAGCAACGGCUGUCGCCGACGAGCUUAUCUUCUGCCGCCACGGAGCCCGCCUUGUCGCGCUAUAAAAAGGAACCCCGAGCCCCUCCGAGUGUUCAGGCGACAUCAGACUUCUCCCGUAGAGCUUCCCGCGCAGUAGAUCGACCGGAGAGGACCGUUUCCCCCAACUCCGGCCAACUCGGCCGCCGCCAAGCUCCGGUGCGAUUCAUCACAACCAGUCGCCCUUUCGCCCAACUAGCGCCACCAGAAGCUUCCCCGUAGUCUUGCGGAGCUGCCCAGCUACCCAGCUUCGGUCGGAGACCACCGGAGCACAAUAGUCACUCCACCACCGUAGCUUCCCUCGCCGCGGAGCUCGCCGCCGGCGAUUCCUGCCACCUCCGUCGACCCUUCAACCACCCAGAGGAUCGCCUCGGUCUUGCCGUCCCAUCCCUGCCCGCAGAUGCCCUCAAGGAGCCGCCGCUCGUCGCCGGUGACCGCCGGAGCCCCGCCACCGUUCGGGCAGAAGAAGGAGAUGGAGGGAAGAACGGUCAAACCUGACCAGUGGGCCCUCGGGACCCACUGUCAGUGACCCGCGCGGCCGCCCUCUCUCUGCUUAAGUGAAGGCGCAAAACCCCGCGUACGUUUCUCUGCUGCGAAAGCGUAUUCCCCGCGAAGCGUUUUCCUUUUUCUGGUUUUAUUUAAAAACAGAUUUGACCAAACUUUGACUGGCUAUAACUUUUAAAAUAAAAUUCCAAAUGAGUUGAUUCUUUUUCCUACCUCUCUCAAAUUUCAUCUAGUUUAAUUUAAGAUUUAUUACAAAAAUAUUUGAGACAGGUUUUGGUACUGUGUUUGAAAUAUUUGUAUUUGUGUAUUUUUUUUUUGCAAAAUAUGAUUUUUGGAGGAAAAGGAAAGCUUCCAAUAAGUGCAUCCUUUGCAUACUCUUGAAGGCAAGCAUUUCUGAACUCUGGCAUAAUAUUUUGGGAGGUGUUUGGAUAUGGUUACAACACCUUUUGACUUGGAGUAUGUGACAGUUUAUGUAUCGGUAUGGUCUCGUGCACGAGUGCACUUUGGAGUUGUUUGUGGUCAGCAAUGGAUACACUAAGGAUUUGGAUCAUCCUCGUGAGCUUCCCUUGCACACCGGUAGGAGGCCGGGAAAGUCAUGGUCUUGGGUAGACGCGAGCUUGUCCCAAAUCCCUCGUUGAGACGAGUAUGCCCGGCACAGCAUGGUGAGGCUCGAGGAGUGGUGAUUUAUUUCACUAGUGGUAAUAUCGUUGGUGGAUACUUGGACCACCUGAGUCGGUUGUAGACCGAGUCUUGUUCAAUAGCUUCCUUUUGUCGGUACCACCACUUGUCCCUGCAGGGGACAGGGUAUGGUUCAGUAGGUUGUCAACCCCUUUCCAAAGCACACACCGUACAGAGAGGCCGUGAUGAAGGUCCCGUGGCCACGGAUUAAAGCCUGUCAUUCGGUCCGGGGGCAUGGGUGUUUCCAGUUGGAGCCGAGGGGGGUUGCUCCCCUAGUUUGCGCGCGGUAUAAAUUCUGUGAUCCCAUGCUACUCGAGGUUGUAGCCUCCCCACUCAGAGUUUUGCUUGGCGGGUGUCGUGGGUGAUUCCAGGCACUAGUGGGUUAAGCUGGUGUGUGCAGGUUAGGCGUGUUUUCAGUCAAAAGACCGUAGACGGAAUUAGUCCCGAGGGACUGAGUAAUCCCGUUACUCGUGGAAAAUGGUACUCCCUCUGCAGAGGAUAUAUCCUGUCGGAUAGUCUUGUUCUUGAGUAAAGGACCACAGCCUAAGUUGAGUCUCUGUAACGGUAUACGGAUGGAGAACGAUUUAACUAGAGCUUAGUAACGGAAUUCGGAUGGAGAUACGGCUUGACUAAAUUAUCGGUUUUCGGAUGGAGAAACGACUGUAUUAAAUUUUGUUUAUGAUUAUGGCACCUUUGGUUUAUGAUCUUUAUUGUUUUGGACUAACCAUUUAUAUUACGCACGUUAUUGAGUAUCCCUGGGAUGGUUCUACCUCCUGGAUAUUCACUGUGAUUAUUCUCUUAUAAGCCCUUUCUGUGGCGUCGCUCAGACGCCCGACUGCGGCAUUAUUAUUGUUCAUUUACCUUUUAUAAGCCCUCUAUGUGGUGUCGCUUAGACGCCCGACUGCGGCAUUAUUAUUGUUCAUUUACCUUUUAUAAGCCCUCUAUGUGGUGUCGCUCAGACGCCCGACUGCGGCAUUAUUAUUGUUCAUUUACCUUUUAUAAGCCCUCUAUGUGGUGUCGCUCAGACGCCCGACUGCGGCAUUAUUAUUUCUGCAUUUUUUCGCUCGAGGAGUCAUUCAGACACUCGUUUGGCACCUGUAUUAUUAUUCCGCAUUUUCCGCUCGAGGGGUCAUUCAGACACUCGUUUGNNNNNNNNNNNNNNNNNNNNNNNNNNNNNNNNNNNNNNNNNNNNNNNNNNNNNNNNNNNNNNNNNNNNNNNNNNNNNNNNNNNNNNNNNNNNNNNNNNNNNNNNNNNNNNNNNNNNNNNNNNNNNAGACGCCCGACUGCGGCAUUAUUAUUGUUCAUUUACCUUUUAUAAGCCCUCUAUGUGGUGUCGCUCAGACGCCCGACUGCGGCAUUAUUAUGGUUCAUUUACCGUUUAUAAGCCCUCUAUGUGGUGUCGCUCAGACGCCCGACUGCGGCAUUAUUAUUUCUGCAUUUUUUCGCUCGAGGAGUCAUUCAGACACUCGUUUGGCACCUGUAUUAUUAUUCCGCAUUUUCCGCUCGAGGAGUCAUUCAGACACUCGUUUGGCACCCAGUAUUUUAUUUUGGUAUAUUUUUAGCCGUAUGUGGGCAUCUUGGUCUUAUGUAUUUUUCGUGACAGGCGUGUGAUCAUCUAAUUAAUUCGGAACAUGUUUUUGAUUUAUUAUACCCGUGUUCUUAAUGUUUGCGAAUACAUUCAAACGUACUCACUGGCUUGUCCCUGGCUAUUGUCUUGGCCAGAUUUCCUUGCGUGGAGGUAUGCAUCGCGGUGACAACCUCGGAACCUACGCUGUUGACGUUUGCAACCUCGCGAAGAUAGGAGUUAUCCUGGUCAGCUGUUCUUGUGGGAAAUGGAGUCCCAUUGACGCAGAUGUACCCCAGCCGCUUCCGCCCUCAACCAUUAGAAAUCAAAUGUUGUACUCCUAGGCCUAAAUGGUCUUGUACUACAUAUUUUGUUCCUUGCUUGGAAUUCUUGUAUCAAGUUGGUGCCUCGUCAGCUAACAGUAAUCCUGGGGCUGGUGAGCACACAGGUCGUCUUUCUGGGAAUAUAUAUCCCAAAAAUCCGGUCGUGACAUGCUUUCCGAAUCCACAGAAUCCACAGCGUUGGAGCCACACACAGACCCAACAUCUUGCAAUAUCUGCAUCAACGGAAUUCCGAACUUGUUUCCGGCCAUGAGUUCCGAACCACGCACGCCUGCGGACGCUGAGCGGGAUCGGUUAUUGAUCUUCGAGUUCAGCGCUGCAGAUAUCUUCCAACACUCGCCCUUGGGCGAUGUGCCAAAUUCAUUAAAGAGCCUGUCCUUGGCAGGGGAUUCACAGCCGAACUAUGUCCGGUUCGAACCGGAGGCUGAUGAUAGAGAAUUUCGCUUCCCACCCGCCACCCACUGCAUAGCCACUGUCGAGGAUUUAACCAACAUGUUUGAUUAUGGCUCUGAAGACAUCGACGGUAUGGACGACGAUGCCAACAAGGAGCAAGGCCAAGACCCGCCAUUCACCGGACGUUGGACGGCCACCUCUUCGUACGAUGUGUACAUGGUUGACACACCUAAAAAAUCUAGCAACAAUGACAAAGAAGAUCCAGUCGCGAAUAAACCUCCUGAGACACAGUCCAAACGCCGGUGCCCUAAAUGCCGCUCUAAGUCACAUCGCUCAACAGAUAGCAACGCUGGCACCGGAGAAAGUGGCACUCUGGACGACGUGGAAAAUAAUGAAGACCCUGUUGGAGCAAGAUCCGAACAGGAGGGACAAGAAAACGGGCAAGCUAGCCCCGAUGAACAGGCCCUGCCUAGCGACAAUUCGGAGGACGACAACUACCUUCCGCUCUCCGAAGAUGAGGUAAGCCUCGGCGACGAAGACUUCGUCGUACCCGAAGAACCCCUCGAGCAGGAGCGCUUCAAGCGCAGGCUAAUAGCUACUGCAAGGAGCCUGAAAAAGAAGCAGCAGCAGCUUCAAGAUGAUCAAGACCUACUCAACGAUAGAUGGACCGAAGUCCUGGCCGCCGAAGACGGCCUUAGUGGCCCAGCCAAAAGCUACCCGAAGCAUAGACUGCUACAUCAGUUCGAUGACGAGGCGUUGGAGCCCGUACCAUCAUCACACAAUUCCACAGGUCGUCGACAACCCGGUCCGGAUAAAGAGGCAACUCAAGCUGAACACCAGACCGCCCCACCCCGCCAUAAAGGCAAGAAUAACACAGCCUGUGGGAGUACAGACGACCUUCGACGGGACUUGGACAGUAGUGCAGGACACGCAAAUAUCGAUCUACGGAUCGCGAGGGCAUGCCCGGACACGCGACGAUGGCUACCUAUCCGGACGUGACAAACCCAGCCACGCCCGAGCCGGAAACCGCAAAUGGACUCCUUCGGAGUUACGUCGCAGUGUGGCCCAACAUAGAGGCGCCGCACACCCUCUUUGCUUCACAGAUGAAGUAAUGGAUCAUGAAUUCCCCGAGGGGUUCAAGCCCAUCAAUAUUGAAUCAUACGACGGAACAACCAAUCCCGCAGUAUGGAUCGAGGAUUUUAUUCUCCACAUCCAUAUGGCCCGUGGAGACGACCUCCACGCCAUUAAAUACCUCCCACUAAAGCUAAAAGGGCCAGCUCGGCACUGGUUAAACAGCCUGCCUGAAAAUUCCAUAGGCAGCUGGGAGGACUUGGAAGAGGCCUUCCUCGACAACUUCCGAGGAACAUAUGUCCGGCCACCGGAUGCCGAUGACCUAAAUCACAUUGUCCAGCAGCCCGGAGAGUCAGCCAGGAAGCUCUGGACUCGGUUCUUAGUCAAAAAGAACCAAAUCGUUGACUGUCCGGAUGCGGAAGCCCUUGCGGCUUUCAGACAUAGUGUCCGGGACGAAUGGCUUGCACGCCACCUCGGUCAAGAAGGACCUAAAUCCAUGACAGCCCUCACUGCUCUGAUGACCCGCUUUUGCGCGGGAGAAGACAGCUGGCUCGCUCAUAGAAGCAACAGCGCCAGUGACCCGGGCACUUCGGAAAUCCGAGACGGCAACGGCAAAGCAAAUACAACAGUCGCAAUGAUAAUGAAAGAUCACGUGACACAUCGGUCAAUGCCAGAUUCAGCAAUCCCAAGCCCGGUCAACGGAAGAAGCCAUUCAAGGCGAACCGAGACGAACCAUGCAACCUAGACAAGAUAUUGGACCGACCCUGCAAGAUUCACGGCCACCCCGAUAAACCAGGUAAUCCCAACAGAAGCUGCUGGGUAUUUAAGCAGGCCGGCAAGCUCAACACCGAACACAAGGGGAGGAGGCCGCCUGGCGACAGGGACAACGGGGAGGUUCACCAACAAAACACCGGGGCUCAGAAGCAAUCUCCACCAGAGGAUCGAUGACUCCCGGAGCGGUAGCAGUCUGGCUUCUGCCGCCCACCUCGUAUACCUGCAAAAUUUGUACCGCGCAUACAUCACUGCGCACUCAAGAUACCAUGGGCAUUGGCGGAAGCACACUACGGACAAGCCUGCAUGCAUUCCCGUAACAUUUUUUAUCUAUUUUGUUUUAUUUUUUCCUUCACUAUCUCUUAAAAACAGGUGAAGAACAGGACAAACAUCUAAAACUGACUCUAUCGGUGUUCAGAUCCGUACACUCACCUAUGGUGCUACUUCCAUCAAGGAUUCCCCUCGCCGAAGACAGGCGACGCAGACGUGCGACAGCAGGUCCAAAUAACUUUUUGUAGACCGCACUCUUUAUUUCGAGCCUCUACUAUGCCUCUUCCUCCGCCUUCGACCCCGAGCAUGUCAAAUAGCCGGGGUUGUGGUCUUUAUAUAUAUAUAUAUAUAUAUAUAUAUAUAUAUAUAUAUAUAUAUAUAUAUAUCACUCAGGUCCCAUUAAAACAGUAUCCGAAUUAAUCAUUCGUGUUAUUUCGCCAAUGAAUAUGGCUCCCAUGGUUGUUUCACAGAUAUACCUUAGCAUAACCCGCCAGGGGCUCGGUAUGGGAACAAAUGAGUUGCCAGCAAAAGUCCGAACAGCUCUAUAGCGUACUUCGGCGUCGCAAGUUUGGCCUUAUAUGCAUCAGCUCCGAAUCAUUGUCUUGGGUCAAUAGUUGGGUUGCCCGGCUCCUGUGCUUGCUACCCUACGUUCCGCUCCAUCGGCUAGGGUAGUAAAGGGAGAACUAUUGCGAUUGUGCUUCCGGUUCAUCUAGUCAAGUACCUCAGUAGAGAAAGCCGAAAACUGACCAUCAUGAUGCGGCGAGAGCUGGUCAACCACUUGAAGAUUUAUUGGAAUCUUUAGCGAUUCUCUGUGUCACACGAGGGAUCUUUUUCAGAUCAAACAUGUAAAGCAUCGUAUUAUAAUACGCUGCGUACAUACCAGGGGCUAUGUCGUAGUCCCACCAUAAAACUCCUAUGGCUAAGUGAAAGUGUUAACGCCUUAUAGUCCGAUUGCCUGGUUCGCCGCAUUAUCACCUCCUUCAUGGACCAAGACAUUGGAUAAAGAGUGAUUAAAUGCUUUUUCGAACACCCCCGUACUUCCUACAAGGGGGCUGAAGCCGACGACUGGAAAACUUUCAGAUUAUAUUAAAACGGCAGCACAUGAGGAAUACAAGCUUUCGAGCAAAACAUAAAAAUAGAUUAAUUAUAAAAUUGUCUUUUACAAUUCUCAUUCACCUCACUCGAACAUCAUGUCUUUCGAGCACUGGCCCUCUAUCAAGCGGGCGGCCUCUAGGAUGUCAUCAAAAUAAUGCUCCGGUUCAGGACGGUCCUUGCCCUUGGGUGGACUCUUCGCUGCAACAUCGAUGGCCUUCAUUUUCCCCCAGAAUGUCCUGACUCGGGCAAAAGCCAUCUGCGCACCCUCAAUGCACGCCGGCCGCUUCACAGCAUCUAUACGCGGCACCGCUUCAACAAGCCUUUGCACCAAACCGAAGUAGCUAUCCGGAACAGGCUCAGUUGGCCACAACCGAAUUAUGACAUUCUUCAUGGCAGCGCCGGAUAUCGUAUGAAGUUCGGCCCAUUGGGACAUCUGUUCAUUCAGCAACAGAGGGCACUUUGAUGCGCCAAACUGUGACCAGAAAAGCUUCUCCGUUGCAUACCCAUCUCGCGCUUGGUAAUACUGCGCCGCAUCGGAAGAACUCUUCGGCAAGUUUAAGAACUCGUCCGGAGAACUCCACACUCGGUUAAGCUGAGCAUAGUUCGGAUCACCGAACUUAGUUUGCAGCAAAAAGGGCUUACUAGACGCAAUCUCCCCAGCUUGCCGGAUCUCCUCACGGGCUGCUCUCGAUUCCGACCGCUCUUCUCUCGCCUCUUGUAAGGCCCUGUCUAGUUCAGCCGUUUUGGCUUCAUUCUCCUUCUACAAAAAUUCACAGCGGCUGGUAGCAUUUUUCAGUUUGAGUGCCAUCGUGGAUGCUUUCUCCUCGUCUUGGCACCGUGCAACUUGUUUGGCUUCUAACUCAGCCGAUGCCUUUUCAGCAGCAGCAUUGCUACAUCGUGCCUGCUCCUUGGCCCAGGCCAGCUCCGCUCGAAGAACUUCAACGGCGGCAGCACCAUCUUCAGCCAUGGAUAUUCCAGCAUAUAAAUUUUAGCAUCAUGCUUAUACCACAAAAAUGUAUGGGGAUUGCCCCGAAUACAUACCUUGCGACUCAUCAAGACGCAUAUUGAUUAACGCAAGAUCGUCCCCUGCUACAUCAAGCUUCCGCUGCAGCUCAGCAAUAUCCAUAGUCUAGGAAGUGGCCAAGGGGGAAGCAGCUUGUGUUCAAGUUCAUCAGGUUAGUCCUCGAAUGAUCCUUUUCGAUCUCCGUUUGCUUCCCAGUGGAAGCCAACCCAAGUCUAGGGGCUACUACCUAUACACAGGUGCAUCUUUGCAAAUAAAACAUAGCUAAAAACAUUAUAUCACAAACCUCGAAGCCUUUUAGCAGGCUCAUGAAGGCUUCAUUUAAUCUGCUCUUCGCGGACAAAAUCUUCUCAACCACUGUACCCAUCAAGGUACGCUGUUCCCCUGAGACAUAUGCGUUUUGCAACAUGUCCUGUAAUAUGUCCGGAGCCGCUGGGUCUCCGGAAGCCGCUCUAGGAGCACAGUCAUCCUUUGAAGGAAUUCGUUCACCCGUCUCCGGAAUCAUCGUCAGCUGCAAGCCAGACAAUCCGGGGCCUUUAUUAUUGGCCCCAGAAUCCCGGACGGUCGGAGAUCCACCUUCGGGCACUGCCUCUUUCAUCCCCGGCAUAGCUUGUUGAGCAAGAAAAACCCUCCGCGAUGACACUUCGGAGUCAUCCGCCUUAUUGGGCGAGGAGGUCGGGGGAGGCGUCUCGCUUUCCAUCAUAUCUGGGAGGAGACCUCCCGAAGAAGAGGAUUGCCCCGAAUAACUCUGUGCUGACCUAUAGAAAUGCACGGACACGUUACGUAUAUCUUUGGUAACGGCAAAGGAGCGGGACGCUAUCAAAGCACCCCGGAUUCACUCACGGUUUGGUUGAGGACUUGUCCCCAUGUUGGAACUGUUCAACAGCAUCGCUUUCCAAACCUACGCCGCUCAACGGCGACAUCUUGCCCCUCUUGGGAGACCGCCCCUCCCAACCUUCGGAGGCGGCCCUUUUCCUCCUGCUCGGAGAAGGGAUACUGGCUCCUCUCUCGCCUCUAUCUUCGGGCGAGGAAAGGUCGAUUUCUCCGGACUCAGUAUCCGACUUACCUCCGGAACAAAGGUCAUCCGAGGUCUUUUCACUCUCCUCUUGGCCAUCCCUUGCCGGCGCCAGGUAUGGUGCCGAGGCCAGCAUCCUUGUUAGCACAGGAUCAGCUGCGUCUUCGGGGAGGGGAGCCGGACACCUAAUCUGCUCCACUUUCUUUAUCCAGCCCUAAAAAAGGAUGGUUCGGUCAGUGUCUUACCACUGGGUAUCCGAUUAUACGGUGUUCGGCGAAUAGGCACUUACCGGGGUGUCCGGAUGGUUACAGUCUAGACCGACAUCUUCGGUGGUGUCCGGCCAUUGCUUUCGUUUCCCGAAGAAUAAUAUCCACAUUCCUUCGUGCGUUGUGCCGAAGAAGCGCUGAAGAGUUCGCGACCCUUCUGGAUUAAACUCCCACAGGCGGAGAGGCCAUCGCUGGCAAGGCAGGGUCCGACGGACUAGCAUUACUUGGACAACGUUGACAAUAUUGAUGUCCCUCUCAAUGAGGCUUCGGAUGCGACUCUGCAGAGCCCGCACCUCGUCCGUUGAUCCCCAGUCCAACCCCUUAUUAAUCCACGAUGCAAGCUGAAUUGGGGGGCUCGAUCGAAAUGCGGGCGUAGCUGCCCACUUGGAGCCACGUGGCUCGGUGAUAUAAAACUACUCCUGCUGCCAUAAGUCCGAAGAUUUGGCAAAGGAUCCUUUCAGCCAAACAGCGCUAGCAAGCUUGCUCACCGUGGCACCACCGCACUCUGCCUGCUCCCCCUCUAUCACUUGCGGCUUCACAUCGAAGGUCUUGAGCCACAAGUCGAAGUGCGGAGGAGUACAGAGGAAGGCUUCGCACGUGACAAUAAACGCCGGGAUAAGAAGAAUAGAGUCCGGGGCCAGAUCGUGAAAAUCCAACCCGUAGUAGAACAUGAGCCCUCGGAUGAACGGGUUAAGUGCAAACCCUAACCCGCGGAGGAAGUGGGACACGAACACGACCCUCUCGCCGGAUCUAGGGGUGGGAAUAACCUACCCCUCGGCAGGAAGCCGAUGAAGGAUUUCUGCGGUCAGAUACCUCGCCUCCCGAAGCCUUGCAAUAUCUCCCUCCGUGACAGAAGAAGCCACCCACCGGCCUUGGCAGCUGGAUCCGGACAUGAUCGGAGCUUGUGACGACUGAAACCCGGGUGUUGGAACUCGGGGUAGCAAGGGUUGAGGGGGAAGCAAGCGUGAAAGAAAAAAGACGGGUCUGUGCCCCUAUAUAAAGACCGUGAAUAUCGAGCGUCUCCUCCUGGGCCUCAAAACUUGCCUAUUCCCGAGGAGUUGUACCCAAAGUGAUGGUUGGGUUGCCCACGUCCGGGUUAACAAGAACCCCUUAAAAAAGGGAGACACGAUCUCCGCUUGGAUAAGACGAUUCCAAUAAAAAACUGUCUGUGGGAAACGACACCUAUGGGAUCACAAGAAUCCCUACUACGGUUGCAGGGUUGUGAGAAGAGCAGGAAUAACAGUCAACACAAGGAUCGUUUACCCAGGUUCGGGCCGCAAGGAUGCGUAAUACCCUAGUGCUGCUUUGGUGUGUAUUUGAGAGAGUUCUUGAGCUCUCGAACUAGCUAUAGUGGCUGCGUAGUUCCAAAGAGACGAAUCCCUCUCCGGUAUGCCAAGGGCCUCCUUUAUAGUCGGAAGGGGCUGCCACAGUGGCACACGGGAGGUGGAAAGGCCUACAGGGCUGCGAGCUUAUCGCCCGUAUUACAGGACAAGACGCAUUUAAUGCGCAGCUUAGGUGUCCCUUAGCUUUAUUGGGGACGGGAACGAGGCUCGUCCCGUCCGCUACCGCCUCGCCCUGCUUCGACACGCGCCCAGGCCAGCGGUUCAUGCAGCGCCAUGUAGGUAGGCAGGCAGCUGAGGUGGCGCGGUCGUAGGAUCUUCACGAAGAUCUGCAUGCCACCACGCAGGUGCUUGCUGAGUUGGCGUAGAGGCCGCCCAUCAUCACGCAGGUGCCUGCCCAGCUGGUUGAGCUAGCAGCUGCUUGGGGACGGCGGUGGAGUCUUGGUCGACGCGGGCCUGGCUGUGGCCCCGCUGGCGCCCUCGGCAAGGGCCUUGCCGGGGGCCCGACAAGGGUCUUGCCGUGGCGUUGUAGUUGUCACCGGCAAGGCGCUUGCCGGGGGUCUUGUGGAUCUCCUCGGCAAGGAUCCCGCUGAGGGUCGCCGUCUUCUGGUCCUUAUCUGAUCUCAUAUCUCUAUGUUCUUGACAAAGAUCUGCAUGCCACUACAUAGGUGUCUCCCGAGCCCUGGUCCAAUUGUAGUUGGUUGGGUAGGAACCCAUGGGCUCAAGGGCGGCUCGCUCUGUUGGUAUUUGGGCAAGUUGCCCCGGCAAGGCUCUUGUCGGGGCCGCAGAGGCCUGCCCUGGCAAGGAUCUUGCCGGGGGAGUCCACCUCGCCCUCUCGCUCUUUGGUAUCUUUGGUCUUGGCGUUGCCUUGGCCAUCUUGUGCUUCGGCUUCUCUCCGGCUUCCCUCCUCUGCCCUGUUUAGUGUGGGCGUGGCGCGCGGCUACGACUGCCCGUGCACAAGUGAAGGGGUACAAAAGUGUGCCCUUACUUUCGUACACCGACAGGAGCCCCCGGGCCUGGGCCACACAUAAGUGCGACACGUUGUUGGGCCAGGCCCAAAACGGUGCCCGGGCAGGAGGGGCAAAUUCUACCGUAGUAAUUUCCUGUCUGUUGUGCUUCCCCACGACCUGCGUUGAAUGCGCGACGUGGGGGGGGGGGCAUGCGUGACGUGGGCGGCAUGCGUGGGACGGUUUCCGCAUGCAUGCGUCACAUCGUGGUAAAGAGCCGACUCGCGCCUUGCCCAUGAAAAGAGGGAGGCGUGGAGGCGCGACUCAUUUACUGGAUGGACUUGGGCCGCAGUCUUCGAGGCGCCCACGCCCCCCGAUCACGGGGCGGGGAACAGUCGCCUCAUCCGUCCUUUCGACCCUGCACGUUCGCCACGCGUCCUUCAUGCGAGCGGCGGGCUGUGGAGGCGAGAAACUGGGCCGUCGCUGAUUAGGGCAGCGGGUCGGUCCCUAUUCCCUGCGCCUCCGCCGGCUGGAUUGGCUGAGUGGGGCGGCCGAGCCUCGACCCCGCCCCUUUAUAAGGAGGUGGGAGGGGGGCGUCAUCCCGCAUUCCUUCAGUAUCCAUCCUCCUUAAUCCUUGCUUCUUUCUUCCACCUGCCAUGGCGAGAGAAGGUGCUGGGCCUUCGACGGUGGCAGCGAGGGUCACCGCUCAUCAGCGCGUCCCUCCUUCCCAUGAGCCCGUGGCGGUGAGCCAGCCACAAGAGGAAGGGGGAGGGGGCGUGGCCGAGGUCGCCGCGGCGGUCGGGGGAGAGGAGGACGAGGUGGCGCGGCAGACGUGCCUCCGCCAGCGGUGCCUCCCGUGAUGGAGGGCCAUGUCGGGGACCGGCCCCGCGAGUUCUUCAUCAGGCCGGGCCGGCCACCGCGUCGUCAUCUCCGUCUCCCCACCCCCUUCGCUGAGGAGAUGGAGCUCGAUCCGCCCCAUAACCUCAGAUUGCACAUGAGGGGCUGCGAGACCGGCGGUACGCGGGUCGACGUCGACUUCCCCGCUCCGCAUGUUAUGUAUCUUCGUCGUGGAUGGAAGACAUUUCCUCGCAUCCAUAGCCUGACGGUGGGGCUUGUCCUCUACUUCAAGUUAAUGGAAAGCGGCCUUCUCUCCGUCAAGGUCUUUGGAGAUCUUGGAACUCGCCUGAAGUGCUGGGUGGAGAGCUCCUCUGACGAUGAAGAUUCCUCCUCGAGUGGGAGGGAAGAGGAGGACAGCGACAGCGACGACGAGGGAGUCGGGCGGCAGGAUACCGACCCCGACUUCGACUGAUCGCGUCGCCCCUCCCUCGGCCUCGCGCCCUGCCGAGGGCCUUCCUCGUCAAGCUCUCCAUCGGUGCGUUCCCCAUCGCCUCCUUGGGCGGCUGGCGUAGGAGGGCCGGAGAAGGCGAAGAAGGCGGGCGGUGGCCGUCAACUCGUAGUACGCGGGCACCGACGCCUUCGUCGCGUAUCGUCGGUCCGUUGCCUCAUCUUCCAGCACCUCCGCCGGCACCGGGAUGCUCUCUUGGCGCCUUCUGUUUCUCGUACCUUGCCUAGGCGCUCCUUUCGCCCUCCUGCUGUCUUGCUUCACCUCCUGAGGAGAGGGACAAGAAAGGGAUUACGGGCACCUUAUCUCUUU